This 45457-nucleotide long non-coding RNA is filed under the name Medicago truncatula (barrel medic). RNAcentral's name for it is "long non-coding RNA (MTRU_LNC005361)". Lineage: Eukaryota; Viridiplantae; Streptophyta; Magnoliopsida; Fabales; Fabaceae. The record is from RNAcentral.
UCAAAAAGAAAAAAAUCAGAAUAUUAAGAAUACCCUAAUUAUUUGGUCACCAAUGGUUAUGGUACUGCUGAAGUCUCUGUCAAUUGUACUAGCAGCAACUGUGAAUACCCAAGGAGCAACAUUAACAACACUUCCAGGGGUAGGUCCUUCAUUUCCCGCAGAUGCAACUAAUAAUAUAUUUCUAGCAAGUGCAUGAAAUGCACCUAUUGAAACCUCGUCGGUAAAAAUUUCUUCAGAAUUUGUACUAGAUGGGCCUCCAGCAGAAACAGAUAUUAUGUCAACACCAUCAUCAAUUGCUUGAUCAAUAGCAGAUAAUACAUCAGCACCAAAGCAACUAGCGGCAUCUGUUAGAGACCAGCACACUUUGUAGGUUGCAACUCUAGCUCUUGGUGAACCUCCUUUUAUGGUACCAUUUCCAAUGUUAAAUAUGCUUGCACCUGGUACGAAGUUUCCACCGGCUGUUGAUAGUGUAUGAGUACCGUGACCUACAAAGUCACGUGCUGUACGCUGCGAUGUGGGAAGUUUGCCAUUAUAUCGCUCAUAAGCAUCGCUGAAAAAUCUGGCUCCAAUUAGCUUCCUGAUAUGUAUAUGUAGUGCAGUUAAUCAACAGAAAUAUUGUUAGAGUAACUUCCUCUAUUGCCAUCAAUGUUGUUGCAACAACAUCAGACCGACCAGUUUAAUCGAUCAUCCAAUGCCGUCAAUAAUCUCCUUUUAAUAUAUUUUUUUACAGACGUUUUUAAUAUUAUUUAAACUUAAUGUGCAAUUUAAAAAGAAAAAUAGUACUAAGCAUAAUUGUAUAGUCAAAGAAAAUCAUAAAAAGGGAAGCAGGUUGAAAGAGAAACCUGUUACAAGGAACUUUCUUAGAACCUCUGAGUUUGUUAAUUUGACAGACAUUACCCCCACGCCAUUUUGCUGGAAUUGGGCCAAUUCCUCUGUCGCUAAAACUCCUUGAUUCCGGCCAAACACCUAAUCCAAACAGUAGGGUAAUACAUAUUUUGAAUAAUUAAGUCAUCUAAGUUUAAUUAAAUCAUUAAUAAAAAAGAAACAGAUCUUUCACAUGGAGAUUAUAAUAUUGAAUCUGUCAAUGUUAUCAUCUAUUUUAAUAAAAAUAAUUGAAAUUCUUUGACUCGUGAACUGUACUUGACUUAAUUAUUACCACGUGUAUGUAUUGUGAUAAAAUAAAAUAUAGUAUUUGGAUAACAAUGAUUAAGUCAAGAAAGCAUCUUGCCAACUCAAACAAAGCCUGUUGUUUUUGUCUAUUUUGAUAUCAAUUAAUUUCUCAAAUGAAUUACAAUAUUAAUCUGUUGCUUUUGGAAUAUAUAAAUUAAGAUCAUCUGUUAUGUGUUGAACAACAAAGAUGUAGAGAUGUGAAACAAGAUACAGGUGAGAUUGAUCCCACGAGCUACAGGACACAAAAACGAAAAUAUUUUUCUAAUUCAUUAAUAUGAACAGUGAGAUUUAUUAACUUUAAGUUUUAGAUUUGGUGUAAGUCACGUGAAAAUAUAGCCACCGAAGAUUGACCGGCAAAUGCAAGACAAAAAACAUAAAAACUGCAUGAAAAUCAAAGAAUUUUAUUUUAUAAACAAAAAAAAAAAAUUGUUGGUUUCUCUAAGUUAAUCUUGAAGAAUAGUGAUAAUCUAACAAGAAAUUAAAAGGAACAUGGGUGGAUUCGCAGGUUGAUUAAAAAUUAAUUUAUGAAUACCACUUAAAAAUUUAUCCAUGUGGUCAAUUUCUAUUAAUUUUUGAAAAUUUACACAAUUCUUCUAGGAUCAUACAUACCUCACCAGAAAUGAGAAUAUAAGAAAUAAACUAAAUUUGAAGAGAGAGAGAGAGAAAAAUUAAAUCCAUUUUUUUUAAAAGAAUAAGUCACCAAUUUCUGUUAUCAAUAAGAGAAACUUGAAACCUUAUACUUAAGACAUAAAUCUAAAAAAUAUAUCAAAAUCAAAUAUAGGAUCGAUGAUUCAUACACCAAUCCAAAGAAAGGUACACAAGGUUCCCUAUCCUAUCCCCUAUGACUGAUAUAUUUAUUUUUAUAUACAAAACCCUAUAAUUGACAAGAAAUAAGACAGUGUUAACAAAGAUAAAAAAGACAAAGAGAAUGCGGUGGCGGAGCCAGAAAAAAAUGUCAGAGUGGGCCACUAAAAUUAACUAUUGAAAAAUUGUUUAAAGUCUCGCAAAUUAGACCUGUAAUUGAUUUAUUUAAAUUUUUCGGGUGGGCCACUGCACCAAUUUGCGGGAAUUUGGAUCAACCGAAACCUAAAACCGACAUAAAAUUGUAUAAAAUCUCGCAAAAUAGACCUAUAAUUGAAUUAUUUAAAUUUUCGGGUGGACCACUACACCACUUUGCAGGAAUUUGGAUUAACCAAAACAUAAAACCGACACAAAAUUGCAUAAAAUCUCGUAAAAUAGACCUAUAAUCGUUGAUUUGGGCCCAGCCCAUGAAGGGCUCCGCCACUGAAGAGAAGGUGAGGUGAUAAGUUUUUGGUGUGAUGGAAAGACAGAUAAAAAUAAAAUGAAGUAUUGGUGGUAAUUAUUAUUAAAUAAACGAUUUUGAUUGGAUUAUAGAACAUUGAAUGUGGUAAAAUUAUAAAAUUUAGUACCUGUAUCAAUGUUAGCUAUGAUGGUAUUUUCACCAAACCUUCCCUUUUGCCAAGCUGAGUUGAUAUCAUUUCCAUGCAAUCCAAGAAAUUCCCAAGAACGUGUAGUGUGCAGUUUAUGCUCUUUGCUCAAGAACACAGACACCACCUUUGGGUUUUCUGCAUAUAUAUUGAAAAUAUCUUGUAGUGAGGUUUAAAAAUUAAAACAUUUAGAUAGAUCUACAAAAUUUGUUUUUCUGACUUGCAAGUUGUGCAGCUUCUUCCUCUUCAAGCAUAGCUGCAAAGCCAUUGAUCUGUUUAUUGUAAGAAUAAAUUAUUGCUUCUUUUGCCUCCUCUUUACUGUGAAUGAUCAGUAUACAAUAGUUAAUCAAUCAAUUUAAUUUCCUCUAAAGAAAAGCUUGAGCUGAAUAUUGUAGCAGUUAUUAUAUAUACCUUCCUACGAUUGAACCCAGUAAAUCAUAAUGAGAAGAUGUAGCAGUUUCAAGGUCAACAGAGGUAGGAGUUGGACCAUGUGAGUGCGCUCCCAUGUAAACAAUGUAGCACUGAAAAAGAAAAAAAAAAUAAUAGUAAAAAACCAAUAGCUUAUGAAAUUAAUGAAAGGAUCAUCUUAAUUACAAUGUACAUAUGUAAUUAAGAAGCAAAACUAGCUUACAUUUUUGCUGGCAUGAACAUGAUUCAGCAUCAAGAUGAAAAUAAGAAGUGAUGAGAAAAGAAGAUGAUGAAGAGAUAAAAUGUAGCGACCCAUUUUUCUGUCUAUGGAAAGUGGUUAGCUUAGCUUAGGGGAUCUAUGCUAAUUCAUUUCCUUAUGUAAUGAAAGGCACAAAUAUUUAUAGAGUUUUUCUAUCCGAUCAUUUGUAAAUUUACUUAUGGUAAAAAGUUCAAAAUUGUAAGUUUGUAUGAGAAAUUGUGUAUUUUAUAUCAAAUAUAUAAUUUUUUUAAUAAAUAGUUCUUGUUUUUUAAUAAAAAGUUACUACUUUUACUUAUUUUAACAUGUGCAAUGUUACAUGUGUUACUCAAACUUGUGCUUAUAUAUGAGAAUGGGAGAAAAGACAGCUCAAGAGUAUUCUUAUUCUUAGCUUUUUGGUAAGCUAAAUAAGAUAUUGUAUUAUAUAUAAAUAUAUAAUAGAAGACAGAUCAUAUCCUAAGUUAUCUAAAAAUUGUAACCAAUUUAGAUUGGUCAUCUUGGCUCCUUUAGAUGAAAAAAAUUUGGUUAGUAAAGACAAUUCACCUUGUUGACUUUAAGUUUUCCAAUGACUAACCACCAUUUAACAGCAAAGGAGGUUUAGUACCUGGCAGAUCAAAAAAUGAAGGGAACAGAAAACAGAGUAAAAAGAGGAGUGAUAUUUGAACAAUAAUCUGAAAUAAGUUUUGUGACAAAUUUUUUUUUAUUUGUCAAAAACAAUAGAGAGAAAUAAAAAAUAAAUAUAAAAACAUAAUGUAAGUAUGAGAGAGUUGUCACACAAUAUCUGUAUAAAUAUCAUUUCUCAAAAGACAAAACAGAAAUUCGCACCCCUUGCCACAUUCCUAAUUUGCAAUAGAGUGAAAAAUUUCACAUCAGUACCAACACCCUUUCAUACCAGCAGCUGAUUACAUACCUUACAUUCUUAAAGUUAGUAGUAGAUAAAUAUUAUCUACCCUUAAUUUAAAGUGUAUUAUACUUCCUCUACUUCAAAAAUUUAUUUAACCUUAUUUGUAAUCAGUAGUGCCUAAAUCUCAUUUCUUACAAUAAAUAAAUACAAGUUUUCGCUGAGACCAUAAUGCUUGUAUUAUUUUGGAUAUUGGAAUUCUUUUUUUGGAAAAUAGGUGUAUGAAGUGUUAGAGCAUCCACAACGGAAUCAUAUAUCUUUUGGUACUUAAGUACGACUUACAGCUUAUACAUUAUUCAUUUAUAAUUUUCUAACAGUUGUAUCUAAUAAAUACUCAUUUUCUUCAAUUCAACACUUUACACAAAUUUCGUAAACAAAAUUCAUUAAUCGUCAAUAACUCUAUCAUUAUAUUUUAAUAUUCUGAUAUUAAAAAAAACACGGAUCCUCUAAAAACUUGUUCCUCACUUGCUUGGCGUCCAUUUCACUUAAAUGAGGAGUCACAUAGGUUUCGACCAACUCAAAAUUGAACGUUGCAAAAGGGAAAAAAGUUAGGGGAAUGUUGUUUUUUUAAUAGGAGCCGAACUCAUAACUAGUGGAAAGUUAGGGGAACAAAAGUGUGUUUAAACCUAUUAUUUAAAAACGUCCUCUCCCUUUGAAUAUUGUUUUAAUUGCUUCAUUUUUAGCUUCUCAUGAAUUUUUAAUUUUAAGCUUCAUGUUGCUUCAUUUUAUUUCCAUUGCUCUUGUCAAAUGAAUAUUUUUUAAUUCCAAAAAAAGGAUUGUUGCUCUUUGUUUCAUAUUUGCAUUCUCGGCUAUAACUUUUGCAAUUCAUUGUUUGCUAACCAUAAUAUUCUAUCUUCAUCUUUCGACAAAUAAACAAUUUAAACGAGGAAAACAAAUAGAUUAAAGAAAUUAAAGCAUAUAAGAUCAAGAAUUCCAUAUCUAUGUUGGAUCUUGAAGGAUUUUUGGUAUGUUGGUUUUUGAAUAUUUUUGGUGAUAAGAUUAGAUGUUGUUGUUGAUGAUGGUGUGGUGAUGGGAUGCUGUUGUAAUUCUUUUUUCUGAGUUGUGGUGGUAAUGGUGGUGGCGUAUGAUUUUUUGCAGGUUAUGGUGGCGGUGUUGGAUUUUUUUCUUUCUUUUGGGUUAUGUUCUUUUAUUUUUCUGGACUUUUGUCCUUGAACUUGAUAAAUAAGGUAUGAAGUCCAUAUGAAAUCAAGAAGAAAUAGAAGGAAUUAGAUAAAGAAAAGUUGUGUUGAUGGUUCACUAUUAGAUUCAAUGAUCUUGCAAGGUUCAAUAGUCUACUUUGUUUUAGAAUGAUCAAAAUGUUAAAAUUAAAUAAAUUAAUAAGUUCUACGGUAUACCACCUAAAAUGUUGAUCAACCCUAGGCAUUUUAGGUUAAAAUUGACAAAAUGAGACCAAAUUAACAAAUAAAGAUGAAAUUGAGGGAUUAAAAUGGAACUUCUCCAGUCAAACUCUAUUACAAAAAUGUUGAUGUGGAAAAUUUGAUGUUGAAGCGCCGCUUCAGCCAGCAAAUUGUAUUUCUUCUUAAUUAUAAAAAAUUAUCUUCUUCAUUUGUUCAUUAAUCUUCUUCAUCAUCACCAUUUACCCAAAUCUCACCCCUUUUCAUUAAAAACCCUUUUCAACCCAUUUGUUAUAAUUUCAUAGAAGAGAAAAUAGAAAAAUAAGCAAACAAAAAGAGAAAUAGAAGGGAAUCGGAAACACUAGAUCUCAAUAUCGACCAAACAAUAAUAAAAAACACAACAAACACCCAUCAAGAUGAUUUCACCAAUAUCGAUUCAAGUUUCAUAGAAAACACCGAAGACAAAAUGAAAGAAAUUGCUUCAGUUCUUCCAAAAAUGGUCAAGGAAUAUCACAAGAUUCAUCUCAACACAUUUCGUUAAUAUAAAUAAGAAGAUAAUAGCUUUUUAAUUUUUUUUGGAUUUGAGUUUUUUUCUUCUGGAUUUUCUUCCUUGUUUGCCCUUCAUGUCUUCUUCCUUCAGCAAGGUGAUGUUAAGCUUCAAAACCAUUCCCCCUAUUCUUCACUUGUGUCUCUUCUUCUCUUUGAAUUCUCUAUUUUUCUUAGUUCUCGUGAUUUGAUUUUUACCUUUAUUGUUUUUCUAUGAAGUUGUUCUUCUGCUACUUGAAAGAUUUUGCGGGAAGAGAAAUGACGGUAGAACUCAAGAAUGAUUUAGCCAUCAAAGGAUUAAGUUGUUAGAUUUUGAAACUCUAAUAAUUUUAAUUUGGGAUUGUUAGAUUAUGAAACUCUAAGGUCCUGUUUGAAUCACUUUUGAUUUUUCCAUGUUUUUGGUUUUUAAAACAGAAAAAGUGAAAAGCAAACCAGCAUUUAUCUGUUUUUGUUUUUUCUGUGUUUUUGGUUUUUAAAAACAGCAAAAGUGAAAAUAGUUUUCAAAACCUAUUUUGCAAAACAAUCAAUUCAAACAAGUUUUCAAUUUUUUAGUUUUUGAAAACAGAAAACAGUUUUUAAAAAUUGUGAUCAAACAGACCCUAAGAAUUUAAUUAUGAACCUUGGUAGUGUUAGGUUUUGAAAAUGAAAAGAGAUGUUGAAUUUUUUUUAUUUUUUUUUGGUUUGAAUGUGGAGAUGAUCACUUUUUUGGAUUUGAAGAUGAAGAUGGAAGAAAGAGGAUGAAGAUGGUAUGAUGGUGGAAGGAAGAAGAUGAAGAUUGAUGAGUUUGUCGAGGUUGAAUAAAAAUAUUACUUUUUCUGUUGACUAGAACCUUCCACUUCAGCAUCAAAUUUACCUCUUGAUGACCACAUCAUCGUUUUUCAACGAAGACUGACUGUAGGGGAAAGGUGCAAUCAAUUAACAACUUAGCAAACCUAUUUGAAACUUAAAAAACUUAAAGGACUAACCUGAUAUUUUUGUUGAUCUUAAAGGGCCCACAAAGGUAUUUGGCCUAUCAGUAUUUAUUAAGUUUUAUUUAAAUGGCUAAAAUGGAUUAUAUUAACUAAAUCAAACAAGAUUUUUCCACCAAAGGCAGUAUCAACAAAGACUAAAAGUGUCAUUAUAAUGUUACAUACAAAAUCGAAAAAACAACCAAGAAAGAAAAGAAACAGUUAGGAGAUAGGUUUCAAACACGGGAGAGUAGUGUAUCUUGCUUUCAAUCACUAGGGUUAAGCCACCAGUUAUGCUAAUGGUAAACGGAAGUAGUGUAUCUCGCUUUCAAUCACCAACAAGACUAAAGCUUAAUUUUUUUCAUAUAAAAUAUGCAUAUUUUCCUCCCGCCAUGUGCUGAAAUAUGCGUAUGUUUCUUUCUUUUCAGGUAACCCACACAGAAGAGAGCGUCAAAUAAUCUUCAAACUAAAUUGAUCCUGCUUAAAAAAAAAAAACACCUAAACAUAAAAAAUGUUCAAGAUGUUCCGAAGUGUCGUCACGAUUCACUAUAACAACGCCUAACCAAUUUGAAACAUAGGACCAAAUUCGGUCAAAAUGAUCACAUCUUACAAAUAAUUGAUCCACAUCUUCAUUCAUACCACAACCUCCUAUACACCUUUGAUCAUUAUGAUGAAGCACCCAUCUCCAAACUAAAUCAGAUUUAGUUGAAAAACGGCUGAGAAGCAGACGCCAAGCGAAGAGACUAAUUUUAAGGGGAUCCACUUUGAUCAAAAUAAUAUUAGAAUUAACAAAUUGAAUUUUAUUAUUCACAACGCGAUGUCAAGAAUUAAUAAGCACUACUGGUAGAAAAAUGUUUCGACUGACGUAACUGUCAGACCCACCUAUUUUUCGAACCAUUCUGCAAAACAAUAGAUGUUAACAUUUCACUGCAUUCCCAACUCAUCUGCUCUUCCACACAAGCUAACAACCUCUUUCUCCACUUCCACACCUCUCCCUGGACCCCAACCCUAACAAGAACAUCUCCGCCACAAUCACCAGUUUAUUAAGUUUAAAAAUACGGUCUCUAAAUAUAUUUUUUGUUUCUCCUCUCAAUUUUCUUUGUUUCUAUCUCCUUUGUUUCUUAUACACAACAACUACUACAUUUUAUUUAUCUUUUACUAGACGAAGAGAAGUGUUAGGCUUUUUUCUGGAUGAUAAAAUAGUAAAUUGUUAGGUAUAUGUGAACCAAAUGACAUGAUAUAAUCUAUAUUUUGAGGGGGACAUCAUAUAAUCUAUUAGAAAUUAUAUCUAAUGAUGUAUCAUUUUAAUAAUUGGUUAACAAAGACUAUUGACCUGUCACAAAAUGGAUAUUCAGCAUCUCUCAUAAAAUUAUACCAAAUAUGUAUGAUAUACAAGAGUUAUUCAAAAUCAAGGAAAAAAUGAUGUAAAACCUCCGAAUCAGAAAAUGAAUGGCAUAGAAAACAGAAGAUAAAACAAAAUUGAACUCCUUGCCACAUAUUAAUAAUCUGCAGCAGGUUGGAAAAUUUCACAUCAAUCCCAAUACCCGUUCAUACUAGCAGCUGAUUACAUUACAUGCUUGAAAUUAGUAGUAAAUAAAAUAUUACUAGCUGUUAAUUUAAUGGUGUAUUACACUUCCUCGCCUAUAUCUUGAAAAGAGAUCCUACUAAUGUGAAGUAAUUUGAUCAGAAGAUAAUUAUGUCUGACCAAGAAUUGCUCCCAUCAAUAAUCAAACUCGGAUUCUCCUGAACGAUUAAUUUUAGAGAGAGUUCAUUAACCACUUGAGUCCAAUCACUUGAUUUAAAUAUCAUUUCUUGAUAAACACGAGUUCUCACCAAGACUCUAAAUAUGUGUAUGAGUUUGCAUAAUAGUAUAAUUUUUCUUUCAAAAAUACGGAUAUGAAGAAAGUCCUAUAGUUCCUACUAAGAUCAUACUAAUUGUAAUCAGGCCCGUUCCUAGAGUUUUAUGGGCCUUAGGCAUAAUAUGAAAAAAGGGCCCUUACAUAAUGCAUCAUAAUUUUUUUAGCGCAUUGUUGUGUUUUUUUGCUUUUCAUUUCGUUUUUUUAUUUUGCUUUUCACUACAAAAUAAAUGUUUUUUUUAAACAACAUCUGAAAAUAAAUUAAAUAUUCUAUAUACACCGAAACAAAAUAAAAAUACCGUAGAAGUAGAGAAAAAUAGCACAUGUGAAGUAGACUGAAAUUUUAACACCUUAUUUUCAACUAAAAUAGAAUUUGCUUUGUUACGAAAAUUAUCCCAAUUUCUUGGAUAAUAAAUAUCGUCGAUAUUUUUAAUAUUAGUGAAGUACAUUAUUAGGAGCAAAGUGCCCAAAAAAAUAUCACAAAUUUCUUCGAUAAUAAAUUUUUGAGCAUAUUAUCAAGAACAACCAAAAUUUUUUAUAGGAGUGUGUAUAUAGAAAAUUUUGUGUUACAUGGGAUAUAUAUAUAGCAAAUCUCACUAAAAGGGCCAAAAAUACUAACAGAUAUCAACCCAUUCCUUUAUCAUGUCAAUGUUUGGGCCUUUAAAGAGAAUGUUUCUAUAUAUACCCUCCAAAAUCCAAAUAUUUCUAUAUACACCCCUUACCUUAAAAAAAAAAAAUUGGGCCCCCUACCGGGAUGGGCCCUAGGCCGUCGCACUCGCGGCCUAUGCCUAGGGCCGGCCCUGAUUGUAAUUACGAAUAACUAAUGCUCUAUAUUUUGAGUCUGCGUUGUGAUGGUUUUGCUAUUGAUGAACUAUUAGAAAAUAUGCUUUCAAGUUUUAUAAUGAGAUAAUUCUUUGAGAGUUAUGGACAAUAAAGAUAAUUUUUUAAAGUAAACUACAUUUACAAUAGAAAAAUGAGAGAAAAUAUACAAAAAAAAUAAUUAUUUUGAAUUCAUUAUAAACUUGCAUAAUUUGAAAACUGAAAUUAUAGUUCUUGGUUUUUUAUUUUAUUUUACAUUAAUUAUAAACUAGUCUGACUCAACUCGCACAACUCUCCGGUCAAUUGAUGAUGCUAAUAGAAUGAAUCAACACUCUUAGAGGCUCUAUCUCGGGAUUGAAAAAAAAAAGUUUUUGUUGAAAACAUUGGGAGCAAUGAUGAUAUCUUGGUUGCUCAUUGUUAUAAUCAUGUUUUUUUUUUAAACUAAAGGUAUCUUCCGCACGCAACCGUAAAAAUUAAUCCCCUCGAAGUAUUGAGAUCCAUUUGAAAAGUUGACAUAUCCUAACAAAUAUUUUUCCACGCAUCAUACAUGAAUCAAACUCUGAACCAAAUAAUUAAAGGAUCCAAAUAUCUACCACUCAUGGCAAUGCACUAUAUUAUCAAGGUUUACUUAAGUCGUCCUAAAAUAUAUAAAAAAAAUGAAUAAAAAUAGAACGUACAUAUGUUUUAUUUCUAAUACAAGAUCUAGCUAGGGACGAUUCUCAUAAUACUCUUUAAUAUAGUUUUAUUAUUCUUGUUUUCUUUUUCCUGGAUUAGGUUUUUCCCCUUGGUUUUUUCAUUGAGUUUGUAAAUAUUUAGCUUAUUAAAAAAAUAGUCGUUUUCAUUUAUUAUAAUUAUAAGUUUAUAGUUUGAUUGCUAUUUAUCCAUGUAAAUGUAUUUAGUUUUGUUUUUCAUCUGUACCAGCAACUACCGAUUGGAUGCUGAUGUGGCACAUAAAUCUUAUGUACAUGUCAUGUAUGCAUGUCAUGUGGCUUUCUGUUUGCCACCCCAAACAAAAUAUAUUGAAACUUUUUUUUUUAGGGAAAAAUAUAUGGAAAUAUAUUGUUAGGAACUAAAAGAAUGGAAAUUUUCUCCUAAAAAAAGCAGUUAAAAUUUUGAAUUAGAAAACAUAACAUAAAAAAAUAUUGGAAGGAAAAAAAUCAAAUAAAUAUUCAUGCUACGAGGCCUAAAUGCGCAAUUAUUUAAUAAAUAAUUUAGCAUGAAUUUAUCAUUAUUUACCAAGUCUAAAAACAGUAUUUUUUUUAAUGUACUUUUAUUUGUUUCAAUCUCUAUAAUUUCUUAUUCACAACAAUAAAACUAUAUAUAUUUUGUUUAUUUAUCUUUUAAUACCCCAAGUGGAUUGUUAGUCUUCAUUUCGGUUGUUAAAUAUGUGAUUGUUUGGCAUAUGUGAAUCAAAUGACACUUUCUAAUCUAUCUUUUUUUUUUUUUUUUUUUGAAGGAACUGUCUAAUCUAUCUAAAUAGCGACAUAUACCAUUUUAAACAUAAACUUUAAGGUUCAAUUCAAUCAAUAUUUUUUAUCCAAUGAAGGAAAUUGUUUAUAUUGACUUAAAGGUUUUAGGUUUUAUUGUUGGUCUUCUUCCACAGCAUAAACCAUUUUGCCCUCUUCCAUCUAAUUUUCCUUUCCAAUUGACGCUUUUAUGUAUUUGUAAUAUUGAACUUACCCUCUUCAUAAAUUUUAUUGUUCAAUAUUCAUUCAUCAAAAUAAUGAAAGUUUUCUAAUUAUAUGUAAGAGAAAUGUGAGUAACUUAAUUAAAACAUCUUCGAUGGAGAAUUUUUGAAAUGGGUUUUUAAGUGGAUUUUAUCUAUACACAUCACUCAUUAAACAACAUUUGCUAAUAGUCAAAGAAACACGAGAUGCUCUUAAUAACCUACUCUUUUAUUUUUUUAUUUUUUUUAAAAAGACAAACAACUAUUUAAUUAAUGCAAACAAAAUGACAGCAACACCAACCACAGUUAAAUCAUGCCCCGUGCAAGGUUCUAAAAAAUGGAUCGUUAGGGAUAUCGGCUGGUACAAAACAGUCACGGAAGCCACCGAUACCGUAAUUGGGUGUUUUCAAGGAGUAAACAAAAAUCACAGGAAAGACGUCCUUACGGCCGCGACAAAACACCAUUACUAUCGCGAAACGUCGUUACGGCCACAAACUUCUCAGCUUUUUUCUUUGCAAUUUCGUUGUUACUUUUGCUUCCUCUUUGAUUCAAUUCAGCCAGCUUCAUCCUUUGUUCUUUCUAACACCAUAUCUCACCUCCGCUCCUAAAUUGGCAUAAUAAAUCUGUCUCACUCAUAUAUUAUCAGUUUAUGUUGUAGAUACAUUCACGCUCUGAAAAUUGAGAGAUAAAAUUCGGGUUUUACAUGAGAGCUGAGAUCAAGAGAUGAGUUUAACUGUGUGUUUGUGAAAUUGUGGGUGGAGGGAUUAUAGACGAGGGUGACGGACCACUAACGAAUGAUGCAGGUCAGAUACUUACAUAACACAAAUCCUAACGUUUAUUUGAAUAAAACAAACAGAAAGGACUAAAUGUAGUAACGGUGAGAAACUUAGAGGACCGAAAUAAAUCAAUUUUUAAUUGGAGGACCAAUCCAAUACCAAUUAAAUAGUUAGAGGACCAAAAAGAUAAUUAAGCCUUCAUUUUAUUAUUAUAUUUAUAUUAUAUUGGCUAAAAAUUGUGAUUGUCUACUUUUUAUUCUUAAAGAAAUAUAGAUACUCCUUUUAUGGGAAAAUGUUUUUUCCAGUUAAGCAAAUGCAUCACAAACGUUUCCCAACAGAGACACAGUUGGCAACUUUUAAUUGCAUUGUAGAAAAAAAUUAGCAAUUUGUGAGAUGUAAAUUUGUGACAAUAAGGUGAGAGCAUAUAAAAUAAAUAAUAUUAAAAAAUAGUCAUUAUCUUCAUAUUAAGACGGAUAAUCCGACCAAUAAUCUGAAUUUGAUCCAUGUUUCAUAUUUUUGUCUUGUUUUUUUAUCUGAUCAGAUCCUAUCCAUUGCGUUCAAUCAAGACAGGUUGUAAGAUUGAGUCAUAUUUUAUACACCCCUAAUAUUUUGACACAUAUAUUCAAAAUUUUAAAAAUUAGUUAUAUGAAUCAUAUAUAUGUACUUGAAUCUCAUGGGUUCUUAAGUUAUCAAACUCCUAAUACUUUGCUAAAACACAUGGCUACUGGACCAAUAAGUUUAAAGUUUGUUGCUGCUAUAUGGUGGAUAUGGCGCUGGAGGAACAACAUUGUAUUGGGUGAUAAAACUUGGAAAGCUAGUGAUGUGAUCCGACAAAUUAACCUCAUGGUUGAGGAUAUGGUUUUGUUAUCUACAAUUGAUUCAUGUGCAGCUAAUAAUAGAAGCAAGGUCAAAUGGAAAGCUCCCCCAUCGGGUAAUUUAAACUUAAUGAGGAUGGAAGUUGUGACCAAAGUGGUGUCAUCGGUUCAGGAGGAUUGAUUCGAGACGCUACAGGAAAUUGGGUGGUAGGAUUCUCAUCUAAUGAUGGUUGUGGUGAUGCGCUUAUUGCUGAGUUGUUUGGAAUUUAUAACGGUUUGGUCUUGUUGAUAAACAAUUCGGUCUUGCAUGUUGAGUGUGAGACAAACUCCACUGAGAUCAUAAACCUACUUAUGGACAGACAAUCUCACUCAUUCCAUGCUUAUGCUUCUUUACUAGCUAAAAUAACAAGUUUGUUGGAUCAUCUUCCAUGUUUGGUGUUCAAACAUGUGCUCCGUGAAGGCAAUGUAUGUGCAGACUUUUUGGAUAGGUUGGGGAGGAACUCUACUCUUGGAGUAACAACUUGGGUGACACCUCCUGAUGAGCUGCUCUCGUUGCUCAACUUUGAUGCUUUCGAUUUCUAGUUAGCUUUUGUUUUUUGUUUUUUUAUGACCUUCACCAAUAUAUAUAUAUAUAUAUAUAUAUAUAUAGGGGUUGUAUCAAGUGAGAUGACAUUUUAUAAUGAGAGGGUGAGAGGAUAAAAUAAUGACCCUUAGAUUAAAUUAGAUGGCUGUGAUUAAAUGUUACUUCUAUGACUCGUAUGAUACUCUCUUUUCCCUAUCCCCAGCUGAAACUGAAACGUUUGCUUCCUUCUCCUUGUAUUCAUCGUGACCCUCUCCUCUCAAUAGGUUUCUGAAACAUCAGCUUCCUUCUCCCUGUAUCCAUGGCUUCUCUCUUGCGCUCAGAUUCUUUCUUUAUUGUCACUCUCCUCUUGAUCUUCGUUUGGAAAAAGAUGCAUAGAUUAUAUUUUAGCAACAUGGACUGGUAAUAUAGAGGAAAAAAGCGCAGAGAAUAAAGGAUCCCUUUUGAAAACCAUGACUCCGCCGUAACAGCGUCGUAUCCUCCGACAACCGUUUUUUCGCCGUCGCCAAAGCAUUCACCAAACGUUUCCCUUUCGCCGGUAACCACGACGGAAUAAUCAGGGAUUGCACCUUAAAAUACUUACUGGAAGCUUUACAUUUAUGGCUUGUUAAAAGAAGAUUCACGUUAAUGGUGGAAUGUUCUCAAACAAGAUUAUCCAAUUUUUCUAAAAAUUAAAAUUAAUGGUAAAUUGCUGAAUUUUAGUGUUGAUUAAUUAUUUUUUUCACGUGUUAAUUAAGGGUAUUAUUUUUUGUUGAGAUGGAAAGGCCUGAGAAUAACGUGAAGAAAAUCACAUGAAAUGAGAGCAACAGGAGAGAGAGAAGACGAAGUGGAGAACAGGAAAGAUAGGUUACGGUAUGUGACCCUCUUGGAAGAACAAUUAACUCUAAGGCGUUGAUUUUGAUCUAACGGUCUAAAUUAAUUCCUCUCAUUAUAAAAUGUCCUCUCAUUUGAUACAUCCCAUAUAUGGGAUAUAUAUAUAUAUAUAUAUAUAUAUAUAUAUAUAUUUUGGUCAAGUAGUCUAGUGGCUAGAGCUCACACAAUUUAAUUGUGGAGAAGUGGAGUGUCCGGGGUUCGAACCGCGGCCCCUGCGUAUAAAGUGUAAUAUCCCUACCAACUGAGUUAAGCUCACGGGGAUUAUGAAUCACAUAUUUUAAUUCAUUCGACAUGAGUUUAACAUUUUCUUUUUAACAAAUUAAAAUGCAAUAUAUUGAUACCGACGGCCUAUCUCUCGAGCAAAAGGUGUGCCAAAGAGAAUAUAGUCCAAUAACUAAAAGGUGUGCCAAAGAGAAUAUAGUCCAAUAAUUACAUGUUAGCCAUCACCCAAAACAUAAAAAUGGAUUCCGACAUCAUUUAUGAAAUUUAUAAUGAUAAGCCACAAAUUGAGCCUUAUACCAUCAAAAGGAAAGAAGUUUGAUGUUCUCCAAAAGCUAAUAAGGAGUACUUUACUGAGCAUUGCAGAAAAUUAUGUUUUCCCUUUAUACAUACCAAGGCCGUCCCAACAACUCGAAGGCUCGGUUAUAUAAACUUGACAAUUUUCAUUUAAAAAAUGUUAAAAAUCAAAGUCCAACACUGCUUCUGAUGACAAACAACUAAGUUGUAGUUAAAUAUAAUGAACAAUAGUAAACACACGAUUUUUACCUACAAACAAAUAGACAUUUUCCUAUGAACAAUGCAUAAUUGACAACAAAAUUGUUGUCUUCCAGACUUUUAUCCACCAAAAAAAUAAUAUUUAAUGACAGGUUUUGUCAUACACGUUUUUUUUAAUUGAGGCACAUCUAAGUUUGAGGUACAAGUUUCAAAAAUUUAAAGCGCCUCUGACGUCUUAUGCCACGUGGCCUUGUUGCGCUCGCACAAGACAGAACAUGUUAUAUAACUAGUGUAACGCCCCGUGCCAACCACGAGAUACAUUUUAUUUAUAAUUUUUUAACAAGGUUUACACAUAAAUAAGUUUUUUUAGAUAUUAUUUGACUUUUUUAGUUUGAUUUCAUUCAGAAUUUCAAUAUUAUGUAGUACUAUCUUCAUAUUUAAAAUUGAGACAGAGUUGGCAGGGACAUGUCAACUUUGCUUAAAAUAGUGAGAAAAAGUACAACUACGAUGUACCUGUAACAACCCGAUUUUUACGAUGUUGCUUAAAAAUAUAUCUAAUUAAUAAGAGGUAUGAUUACCUCUGUUAUAAUCUACCAUUAUGGCUCUGCCUCCUUUUUUCCGAAACGUUCAUCACUUACGAUGUACCUGUAACAGCCCGAUUUUUAGCUAGAUUUAUUUUUAGGGUUAAUAGUGUUUUUCACCCCUGUAAUAUAUGUCAUUUCUGGUUUUCGCCCCUAUAAAAUUUUCGGUUUGAUUUGCACCCUGGUAAAAUUGUUAUUUUUCGGAAAACACCCUUAAUAGGUCAUUCAAAAACCAAAAUUUCUUGAAAAAAAAUUUUGAAAAUGGCCUAUUAGGGGUGUUUUCCGGAAAAUAAAAUUUUUACGAGGGUGAAAAUCAAACCGAAAAUUUUAUAGGGGCGAAAACCAGAAAUGACAUAUAUUACAGGGGUGAAAAACACUAUUAACCCUUUAUUUUAAUUACUUUUAUUAUAUGUUUAUAUGUAUUUGUGUGUGAUUAUUCAUCAUUGAGUGCAUUUUUCAUGGAUUUCCGUGUUAAAAGUGUAUUUUAAUCAUUUUAAACUUAAGGGUAUUUUAAUCAUUUUAAAAUAUUUUAAUCUCUCUAUUGUAGAUGCUCUUAUACCAAUAUUUAAAUCAAUCUAAUGGAGAAAUAAAUCCCCAUAUUAUGUGUGGGGACCGCUUCAUUUAAAAAAGAAGAGAAUUGAAUAACAUAACCACUCAAAGAGUAUCAUUAAGCUCCCGUCCAAUAAUAUUCAUCGGAUAAUGUUUUAAUUUUUUGGGUCAAUGGUGUUUUACCCCCUGUAAAUUUUUUUUUUUUUGGAAUACCCCCUUGUUAUCAUGGUUUUUGGGUGCCAAGCCAUUAAUUGGACUUGAACCUUUUGACCGUUGAUAUCUCUCUUUUUUCUUGGGAAGGGUAAAAGGAGAAAAACCCUUAAAAAGUUCUAGAUUCGGGGGUCGUUUUCGCUACGGGAAGGUGUUAGGCACCCGGAGCGAUUAUGGUAUUCCAUAAGAACCGCUUUCCUAAGUUGAUUUCUACGCUUUAGUUUUAUUGCUAUUUUGUAAAAAAAAGGAGGUGUGAUUAGUUAAGAAUGGGGGUGAGAAGAAGUAGAAUUUUGAUUUUAUUUCGGCUUGGAGGAGUUUUGACUCAUUGCCUACGUACCCUUUUAAGGGAUCAAAACCGAUCGUAGUUCAUUCUCAAAAAUGGUUUUUUGUUUUUGUUGGUUGAUUUUAAGUUUGAAAAGAGAUUUUGAAGAAUAGAGAUGAGAGGCCUCAAGGGCAUAAGAUUUGGAAAGUGUGAGGUGGAAUUAGUCAUUUUGCAAAAAUAAAGUCCAAGGAGGAUUAAGGUUUAUUGAAAAUUUUACUUAAGAAAAAAAAUAAAAGGGAAAUAAGGAGUUUUGACUCCUAUUUUAUUUUCAAAAAGGUUUUCAAGUGAGAUUAUUUGCAUGUUUUGGAAAAAGGUUGAUUUUUUCUAAGUGUUUAAACCUAAGCGCUUAUCGAACCAUACAAUCCUAUGCAUACAUCUAAGGUGAGUGUGUGCGUGCCGGUGCGUCAUAGUGUACAUAGUCCAUAUUACAACAUUGCCUAAAUACAUUCUAUGGCCUCUUUGCCAAGCUACAAACCAAUGGUAAAAUAUUACAUCACCGAAUGAAUUACAAUUUGUAAAAAAAAGAAAACUAAACUAACGGAGACAAUAGUGAAGAUAAUGAAGUGCUAUGAAGUGAUCAACAUGAAAGGAAAUGUUAGUAGAAAAUGGUAAAAAAAGAAUAUGGCAUAAAGCGAUAGAAGAAAGUAUGGCAUAAGACGGUAAAGUGACGAUGAAAAUAAGCCGGAAACAUGUGAUGAAUAAUGCGCAUGAUGCAAGAAUAAAACUCAACACAUCAAAACAGUGACAUAUGCAUAGCAAACAGUAGCAAAAUUCACAUGGAAUAGUAUGCAAAUCAAACAUGACGAACACGAACAUUAUGUACAUGAAGUAACGGGUAGAAAUGCGAGAAAAAUGACUUAAAAUAGUAAAAACCCUUGACAAAACAACACUAAAAUUUUUAUCAACUUUUCCAAGUAAAAUACCACUGAAAAUUAUCAAGAAAAAUAGUAAAAUGACAUAGUAAAUUUCUUGGAAUUUAUUGAUAAAAAUUAACAUGAACAGAGGGUGCAAACAGUAGGCAAGUAUGGUGCAAGUAGCAAAAAAAGCAAAAAACGUGAAAGAAAACUAAGCCCAAACCCAAAGCCCACACUCAAAACUCAGAUUGCACAGGAGCCACACGAUUGAUCUAGGAUUCUGAAACCCUAGAUCAAACGGCCAGGAACAAGGGGGACUGGACCGGAAAUAAACCGGUCCGGUUCACUGGCUAUACAAAGGGGGAAAUCCGGUUUUUUCCUCAUUCUCUUCCUCUCCUUCUCUCUCUUCUCUCAUCCUAGUGAGAGAAGCUCCCACUUCUCUCUUCCCUCUCUCGCCGGAAACCUCAAGGAGGAAGAUGAGUUUCACGUGUUUACCUGUGAUUUUUGACUGGAGAUUUUGAACAAGAUCUUCGGAAAACUUGAUUGUUGGUGCGGUUUGUUGAUUCUCUGGCUUGGAUCCGAAAAUAAAUCGGUUCUUCUUUCUUUCUCUUUGCUGGUCCGAAUCGGUUCUUUCCCUCUUCUUCUCAAACUUUCGGAUCCUUCGCGAUCGUGCUUGGAUUCGUUGCUAUUGGUGACGGAUCCGCACCAGAAUUGUGAAGGAUUCGGUUCGAUGAUGAUGAUUCUCCAAUGAAUCACUGAGAACUGUGAUCUGGAAAAUUUUCUAGGGUUUUUGUUCUUGGUGUUCUUCUAUGAUUUUUCUGUUUUGAUCUGUAACUGAAUGGAGAGAGAAAAGAAAUCUGUUUGUGAUGAAUUUCUGACUUUUUUUUUUUUGACUGUGCAUUGAAUGCGCCUUUUAUAGGCUGCCAUGUGUGCAUUGGGACCAAUAGGAAAUUGACACCUGGACCUGGAGAAGAAAUGGCACGGCUUGGAAAAAAAAAUGAAAUUUGGACCUUUCUGCAAAAAACAAAAAAUUUGAGGACUAAACCGCAAAAUUAAUAAAAUAAUAAAAAAACCUGAAAUGAAAUUAAACUGUUUGGACAAAAAUGCAAUUUUGGGACCUCAAUUGAGGGACCAAAAUGCAAUUAAAAAUAAAAUUGAGUAAAAAACGUAAUUUGACCAAACGUAAAGCGAAACAAAAAAAUAAAAUUGACAAAACGGACUAAAACGAACCAAUGGCCUAAAUGAGGUACUUCACAGUAACCUCCCUAUGCCAAAAUUUUGUGUGAAAUGACCAAAAUGCCCCUAGGGCUAAAAACGACCUAAACAGAUUGAAAUUGACUUGACACUGACUCAGACGCAAGUUUGAAAUGAAUUUUAACAAGGUUUACUGAUGAAAUAUUUAAAAAUAAUCUGAAAAGACUCAGAGACAGUCACAAGGAUGAAAAUGGGUCCCACUGCAGGAAAUGACCAAAAUACCCUUCUGUAUGACUUUUUGCAAAUUUUGAAAUAAACUGUGGUAAAAGCAAUGUAAUGAUCCGGAGACACUUUUGAAUGACUUAUAAGACAAGUAAAGAUAUUUCAAAAGGUUUUAUGCAAGAAAAACAUAGCUAAAAUUGUGAUUGGAAAUACUGCGAGGCAGAGACAAUUUGAACUGUGCAGUUGAAAUUUGAUAAUUGAUAAAUUUUGAAAUGAAAUUGGGCCCAGUAUUUUUAGGUCCAAAAACAGGGUAUAACAGCUGCCCCUAUUUAAGUUUCUUUGUCUGGAGAGUCAAGAGACGGAGUCUUUGGCUUGACAGGACGAAGAUACUUAAAUAUUAGCAUUUGCACUGUGUUUGGACGUAAAAAAUACGCCUACCCAUUUUCAAAUAAUAUGCAUGCCAUGCAUCAUUUGGAUUAUGAAUGCAAGACCUCAUGGGGAUUGGAAUUAACAAAAUAUGUCGCAUCCAUUGCGGGAUUGGUAGACAUUGACAAAGAUAGUGAAUAGCAGAGUAACGGGAAACUAGAAACAAGUUGGACAGGUAUAAGUUGUUCUUGGAUUCAAACUAGCCACUUGACCGGGGAUGAGACAAACAGACAACUGCGAGUUGUUCUUAUGGAUUCGAACUGGUCACUCCACAGGGGAUAGAGGUUACUGGACAAACAUGAGUUGUUCUUAUGGAUUCGAACUGGUAACUCACUUGGGGAUAUUGGAAAGUGCGAGUUGUUCUUAUGGAUUCGAACUGAUGACUCGACUGGGAAAAAGAGAAAAUUGGCAAGUACGAGUUGUUCUUAAGGAUUCGAACUGGUCACUCGACUGAAAGCAAGGCAAACAGACAGGUGCGAGCUUGUUCUUGGAUGCGAACUGGUUACUCCACCGGAGACAAAUACAAAAUAGACAGGCGCAAGCUGCCCUUGGAUCGAGCUAGCCACUUGACCGAACAGAAACAGAUAGACGGGUACAAGCUGUUCUUGGACUUGAACUAGCCACUCGACCGAUAACAUAAGCAAAUUGAUAGGUACAAGCUGUUCUCGGACUUGAACUAGCCACUUGACCAAACAGAAACAUAUUGACAGGUACAAGCUGCUCUUGGAUUGAGCUGGGCACUCGACCGAUAACAUAAGCAAAUUGAUAGGUACAAGCUGUUCUUGGACCUGAACUAGCCACUUGACCAAACAGAAACAUAUUCACUGGAGGUUGGUUUGGUUGACAAAAUAUAGAUUGAGAUUGAUUUGACAUCGAUUUGAAUUGAAAGGUAGAAAUUGACUGAUAACAUUGGCUCACAAGGUUUUGACGGAGAACCUGACAUGAGUGUUGAAUUGAGACUGAUGUUGUCAUUGGAAAUGCAAUAUGCAUGGAUGAUAUAACAGUUUCAUUAAAUGCAUGGGCACGUAAUAUGCAUGAUUAUGCAUGUAUGAAUGCUUGUAAUGCAUGACUAUUGGCAGUUUGUAGGCACGACUUCACGGGGAAGACAAGACAUUAGAGUAUUGGGCACGUAGUGGCUCGUGCUAUAUUACACAUUCUUGGAAAUCCUCUUUGGAGAUGACGUCGUUGGGAGACGUAUCGGAACCAUGGCUGAGGGCAGGUAGCUAAACAACUUGCUUGGGGAUAGAAUCUUGAGAGACUCCACCGGGGAAAACGCCGUUGUGCUGGGCAUGUCAGCGCUGGGUAUGUCGUAGAUAUCGCAUCUGUGGUCAAUGCUUUUUGCAUGUUAUAUUCUCAAUUUUCAUUCAUCAUUUUUGCAUCCCAUUUUUGCUUGGAUCGCCCUUUCGGGUUUUCGACCCACCGGGGAAAUAGAUUCUUUUCAAUGCCCCAUUUUUGCCUGAACUGCCCUUUCGGGUUGUCAAUCCAGCGGGGUGCUCAUUUUUGCCUAAGCCGCCCUUCCGGGUUUUCGACUUAGCGAGCCUAUCUAUUUUCAUGCAUUUUCAUUCUGUUUUUUCAUUCCUGCCAUUGACCACAGAUUAUCUUGGAGGAGAACCUGCUUGUAACAUAUAUUGAAAUAGACAUCGACAUACUCUCGCUUAUGCAUGUUUCGUUUGAAUGUACCCUGUUGCUCAGGUUUGCUUUUCAAAAUAGACAAAAAAAUUUCAAUUUUCAAAAAUGUUUGUUUCAAGCAUUGCCAUUAUCAAAAUAGAAAGAAAAUGUUUUGUAUAUAGCUUUGAAAGUAGAAGAAAAAUAGAAUUUCAAACAAAAGCACAAGCUCAAAUUGAUGUAUAAGAGUGGUGGUCAACCGAAGGCGUGACUCCACGGAUUCACAAAGCUUGGAAAAUGGUAAUUUUUAUUGGUUGGUGGUACAUUGAACACAGCAAUCAUUACAUUUCCCAAAAACUUUGAAUUCACAAGUACAGAAGCUUCAGAUGAAGAUGGUCAUUAACAGCUGCAGAUGCCCCAAGGGGGACGGUGGUUAGCCAGAUAUAGUUACUUGCCUUUUGUUUCAAUCUCAUUUUUGCAUGAACCGCCCUUCCGGGUUUUCGAUUCAUCGAGACGCUCAUUCUUGCCUGAGUUGCGUGCAAUCUCAGCGAGCUUUUCAUAUUUGUUUCUUUUGUCCCUUAUUUUUGCCUGGACCGCCCUUUCGGGUUUUCGAUCCACCGGGAGGCGCAUUUUUGCCUAGGCCGCCCUUUCGGGUUUUCGACCUACCACGCUGUUCUUUUCAUAUUUCUAGGCAAAGUAUUUCUUGACUAUAUCGGCAUUCACUGGAUUUGGAAGUUCUACACCAUCCAUGUGUGUAAGGAUUAAAGCACCACCGGAGAAGGCCUUCUUGACAACAUAAGGACCUUCAUAGUUAGGCGUCCACUUGACCCUUGGGUCGGGUUGCUGGCUUACCCUCCUUUUCAAUACAAGUUCCCCUACUUUGAACUAUCGAGGAUGAACUUUCUUGUCAAAAGCAGUCUUCAUUCUUGCUUGAUAUGACUGUCCACGAGCCAUGGCAUCCAUACGUUUUUCCUCAAUCAAAUUCAACUGAUCAUACCGGCUUUGGCACCAUUCAGCCUCAGAUAACUUUGCUUCCAUGAUCACACGGAGAGACGGGAUCUCCACUUCCAAAGGAAGAACUGCUUCCAUACCAUAUACAAGAGAGAAAGGGGUUGCCCCGGUUGAACUGCGCACUGUAGUACGGUAGCCAUGCAGAGCAUAGGGUAACAUCUCAUGCCAGUCCUUGUAAGUGGUUACCAUCUUCUGGACAAUUCUCUUGAUAUUCUUGUUGGCGGCCUCAACUGCACCAUUCAUCUGAGGUCUAUAGGGAGAAGAGUUAUGAUGCUCAAUCUUGAAUUCUUCACAAAGAGCUUGCACCACAUUGUUGUUCAAGUUGGUACCAUUGUCAGUAAUGAUCUUGCUGGGAACACCAUAUCGACAGAUGAUGUUGUUCUUGAUGAACUUAGCUACCACUUGCUUGGUCACAUUGGUAUAAGAUGCUGCUUCAACCCACUUGGUGAAGUAGUCAAUUGCCACUAAGAUGAAACGAUGACCAUUUGAAGCCUUCAGUUCAAUUCUUCCAAUCAUGUCGAUGCCCCACAUUGAGAACGGCCAUGGGGAUGAAAUAACAUUGAGAGCGUGUGGAGGCACAUGAAUCUUAUCAGCAUAGAUUUGACAUUUGUGGCACUUUCUGGCGUACUGAUAGCAAUCAUGCUCCAUGCCCAUCCAGUAGUAACCUGCUCGUAACAACUUCCUUGACAUAGUAUGCCCUGUAGCAUGGGUCCCGAAGGUACCGUCAUGUACAUCAUGCAUUAACUGCUCUGCUUCAUGUUCAUCAACACAUCUUAACAAUACCAUGUCAUAGUUUCUCUUGUACAGAAUAUCCCCAUCUAACCGGAACCUACUGGCCAAUCUUCUCAGGGUCUUCUUAUCUUGUUUGGAAGCACCCGGCGGAUACUCACGGCUCAGCAAGAACUGUUUGAUGCCAUAAUACCAGGGUCUAUAGUCAACCACAUUUUCACCAGCCUGAUCGAUCACAUCCCCAAUAGCAAACACAUGCGAAGGUCUUUCAAGGCGUUGCAUUUUGAUUACUGGCACAUCAUUCCAAUGGUUUACUCGAAACAUGGAGGAUAGAGUAGCAAGAGCAUCAGCCAUUUGGUUCUCAUCACGAGGAAUAUGGUGUAGCUCAACCUUUGUAAAAUAUGUCAGCAAACGUCUCGCAUAAUCACGAUAAGGAAUCAACUUAGCAUGGUGGGUCUCCCAUUCACCCUUUAUCUGAUUGAUGACGAGCGCAGAAUCCCCAUAGAUGUCGAGGUGUUUGAUUCUCAUGUCAAUUGCUUCCUCGAUCCCAAAGAUACAGGCUUCAUACUCAGCCAUAUUGUUGGUACAUUCGAACAAAAUUCGGGCUGUAAAAGGAAUGUGAUGCCCCUGUGGGGAUACAAUGACUGCCCCAAUUCCUUUACCAUAAGCAUUGACAGCACCAUCAAAGACUAAACCCCACUUGCUAUUGGGAUCUGGACCUUCAUCAAUCAACGGUUCUUCACAGUCCUUUGAUUUCAAAUACAUGAUCUCUUCAUCGGGGAAAUCGAACUCAAUUGGUUGAUAAUCAUCGAGAGGUUGGUAAGCAAGAUGAUCGGCAAGAAUGCUACCUUUGAUUGCCUUUUGAGUUUUGAACACAAUAUCAUAUUCAGACAGAAGCAUCUGCCAGCGUGCAAUCUUCCCAGUAACAGCAGCUUUCUCAAAGAUAUACUUUAUCGGAUCCAUUCUGGAUAUCAACCAAGUUGUAUGAUUCACCAAAUAAUGACGCAGGCGUUUAGCGGCCCAGGCCAAAGCACAACAAGUCUUCUCAAGCAUUGUAUACCGAGUUUCACAGUCGGUGAACUUCUUGCUUAGAUAGUAGAUAGCGUGCUCUUUCUUUCCAGUUUCAUCUUGUUGACCAAGUACGCAUCCCACAGAUUCAUCAAACACUGACAAAUACAAAAUCAAAGGCCUUCCUUCCACGGGAGGGACAAGGAUAGGGGGCUCCAGCAGGUAAUUCUUGAUGCUAUCAAAAGCUUCUUGGCAUUCAUCGUUCCAUACAAUAGGCUGAUUCUUGCUCAAGCAGUCGAGUGAUCUCAUAUGGUAUAUCAUCAUCCUCUUCAUCUUCGGCUUCAUACACAGGGAAUUCAAAAUUUGGAGGAACCGUAGGAUUACUGUGUUCAACGGGUUUAUUAUGGUUCAAACUGCAUAGAAUGGUUGAAUGAUUUUAGAAAAUGGUUUUUUUUUUUUUUUCUUUUAUGCAGUUCUUUGAAAUUGAUAAGAAAAAUAAAGAUGUUUUGGUUUUUUCUGGUAUUACCAUUAUUUCCAAGAAAAAAAGAAAAAAAAUCACUAAAAAAUAAAAGUCGUGAAAGAAACGACGAUUUUUGUUAAUAACGGCGAUGCCGAAACAAACACGCCCUUCCAGAAAUAUCACUUUCGCUUCGGGUAGAGCGAGAGGAUUGUUAUUUUGAAAAACAAAACACUUAAGCAACAAGACACAUUAUUCGGAAACAUGCAUGAUUGAAUGAAUGUUGAUGGCAUCACAAUUUCUCGCAAUGCCUCCUGGUAUAACAAACAUAGGCCUAGGACUACAUCCAGUCGCCUCUUCAGUAAUUGCAUUGAUAAACUCAGCACUGUAAAAGAUUCCUGUGGAGACUCCUGAAGUUGGGGAAUAUCCGAUACCCUCUUUAUGCUUAUUCUCAAGGAGUUGUAUUAACUUGCCCCAGCCAGCAGCUUGUCCUUCUUGGAUGUCAUUGACAGUCAGAUAAUUGUCGUUCAUCAGUCUCUGGAUGUCAUUCUGAACAACGUAGCAACCCCGAGGAUUAUGGAAGCAUUCUGGGCAACUGGCAUGAUCAUGGUCAAACAGAGAGGCUUGGCAUAACUCGAUGUGUAGUGGCACCAGAGGAGUUGCAACGUUACAAACGUCCGAUCUGGGAGCUUCCUCAUAUACCUCAAUCAUGUUUACAGCAGCGUGAUUCGGAAGAGGAUUGUCGACGACAUGAGGGACGUUAUUCUCAAAGGUCAAUUUUCCUUGGUCUAUGAGUUUUUUUACAAUGUACCUCAACGCGUAGCAUCCUUCGACAUCAUGACCCAUAGCACCUUGAUGGAAAUCACACUUGAGGUCCGAACGGAACUUGGGAGGCGAUGGAUCAGGUGGAGGCUUGCCCUGUCUGGUUGUGCAGUGCCCUUUGAGAAGUAGAGUCGGGAGUAAUUCAGCAUAUAACAUUGGUAUCAGAGGAAAGGUAGGUCUAGCCUGUUGCUGCUGUCGUUGUUGAGCUGGAGGCUGUUGUUGCAUUCGCUGGACGACGGCAUUAACGGGUACCUGAGGUUGACCCGAUGGCAAAGGAUACUGAUGAUAGAAUGGUGGAAAGAAGGGAUGCUGAGAGUAUUGCGCAUACGUGUACGACGGAGGUAGCUGAGCAGCAUUGAUGUCCAUGACCUGGAACGUGAUCAGAAAGGUUUCGGGACAGAUAGUUAUUGGCAGAUCUAUCUCCCCAAGAAUGUUCUUACGGGAUCCGUCGAAGGCUUUAACCAGAAAGGUGCUCAUUCCCAAGGGAGUUCCCCGAUAGCUCAAUCGAUCCGGAGUGGCCGUUGUCUGAGGCAAGCUGGUAUUGACAGAGACAGGGUUCGUCCCAGGAAUCUGGCCAUUAUUGACAGUACCAGAAACGCCAGCUGCAGUACUAGGAGUGAAAAACGGUGGAAGCCCAUACGGAAACCCAGCUGGCAUAGCAAAGCGAGCGUCUGCAGAUGCGAUUGGGAGCACGCUUGUAGUCACCGGUACAGCUGUGACUAUAGGGAUAGCCGUAGCUGAUUGUUCUUGAGCGGCUAGCAGAGCAGUCAUGACAUCAUUAGCUUUAGCCAAUUCCUCCCUUAGAGUGGCUAACUCGGUACGGAGCUGAGCGUUCUCUUCUUCCAUAGCCUUUUUCCUUCUUCUGUAUUCUCUGGUUCGAUCGAUUCUAUCGGGUUCGUAGACCUUCUGAGCACGAGCCACUUUUCAAACUGUGGCAGAGGAACCAGGAGAUAGUGAGCACUUGGAAGCCUUUGUGACCGAUGCAUGAUGCAUAUGAUGCAUGAUAUGCAAAUGCAAAUGCAAAAGACUUAUUUUUCAUCGAAGGAUUUUUAAACAAAUUAGAAACCUUGCAAAUAAUCAAAACUACAUAGCAUUUUCAAAAGGAAGACUUUGAAAUUUCAAUGAGGUAAACAACUGAAGCCCUCAAGCAUAGGAAGUAGUCGGAAGAUCAUCGGACUCGGAAUCUGAAUCACAGUAUCUGUCAAAGAAGUCUCGUCGUCCUCUGGCUCUCUUGGAAUCCCUCAUAAGCAGCUCGUCUUUCUCUUCCAAUUCCCUCCGGGCUUUAGCUAGCUCCUUCUUCAACAUCAGAUUCUCAUGAGUCUUCUGCUCAUCUCUACCAUCCAAAGUCAUGAUUAGAUUCUCAGCUUGAUCGUACCGAGCUUUCCAUACUUGCUUCUCACGACUCUCCAUAGCUAGAUGCUCCUGAUACAUAUCCUGAGUUGCGGGGAGCAAAGGUAGAGGCAUAGAUGGGGUAGAUGAAGACACAUAUCUCAUAGCUGGAUAAGGCAUACCAAUCUCCUCAGCUCGAUCUAUCACCCACUGAGUAUAGGCCUCAUGAGCGACACCGGACCUCACACCUAGAUGCUUCACACUCUUCCUUCGAACCUUGGACCAAGCAUCCAUGAAAGCUUUCCUUUGUCCGGUAGGAGCAUUCGUGUAGAAGAAGAACUCUGGAGAUGUAGCAAGAUUGAUGGGCUUCGACUUCAUGGGGAAACCAAACUGUCUCAUAGCAAGCUCGGGGUUGUAGUUGAUUCCCCCACGGGUACCAAGAAGAGGUACAUUGAGAAAAUCUCCACAACCCAUAAUGAUUUCCUUCACCUGAGCGGCAGGAGUGAGCCAGACGACCUCAUUAGGAGUGAGGGCCAUAAUCCGCUGCGAGUAGGACCAAUUCUCCGAGUUGUCAUGGAAGGAACUCGGAAGGUGCGAAAUAAACCACCUAUACAAAAGAGAUGUGCAGCAAAGAAUAUAUCCACGGCCCUUGAGAGUCCUGUCAUGAAUGGCGUGGUAAGUAUCUGCUAGCAAAGUAGGAACCGGGUUCUUGGAAUGAAAGAUCUCGAUAGCAUUCAUGUCCACGAAGUUGUCGAGGUUCGGAAAGAGGAUGAGCCCGUAGAUAAGCAAAGCAAGAAUAGCCUCGAGUGUAUCCUGACGAGUAGUACCGAGAUUAGCCUGAUCAAGAAGAUACUUCGAAGUGAAACCCCGGAUGUGAGACUUGGUAAUAAGAUGAUUGGAGACGUCGGAAGUCUUGAGGUAGAGAUCCUUAGCAAUAACCAGAGGAGUAAGAGAAGUCCCGGGACCGGUGAAAGGCGUCUUCUCGGCUAUAGGUAAACCCACUAGAUUGGAGUAAGCCUCGAGAGUAGGAACCAACUGGAAGUCCGGGAAAGUGAAGCAGCGGAAGCUCGGAUCAUAAAACUGUACUAGAGUGUGCACUAGCUUCUCGUCCACAUCGGUUCGGAGCAAAGUAAGCAAUCCCCCAUACCGAAGUCGGAAACCUGUUUGACUCCUGACCUUGAGUGCCAACUCUCUCAAACUAACCAAAUCCACUUCCUUGAACUUGUAGCACUUAGUCUUCUUCAUACCUGUGAUUAUUUACAAAAAUUUCCAUUUGUUUAAACCCUUCGAUGAAUGCAUGAAAAAUGUUUAUGCAUGAAUGUAUGUAUGCAUGGUUGUGUUGUUUAGUUACAAUGUGGGUUGAGAUUCAAAGUAACAGGGCCACGGAUGGACACGGCGUCCGGUGAACUAAGGCUUUGGAUAAUAGUAACCAAGGUUCUAACACAGUUCCCAAACUGCAACCUCUCUCACAUAUAUCAUGGUAGUACAGGACAACACCCGUUCCAUGAUUAUUUGUGAGAAGGUCUAGUUUGAGUGUAGUAUCGCGUGACGACUAAAGUUUGAGACAACACUCAAUUUAGCCACCGCACUACGUCAUAAAAAAGGCUAGGAUGGGUUUGGUAACUACGGUUCAUAGCUUCGUCGAACAAUUGAAAGUGAAGUGUCUAAGCAUGACAACACACGCCGACAAUAUCACCUUCAAAAUGCCUCAGCUAUGUGAGAUUGAUCGCAUAAUCCAAUACACGAGGCAACCCCCGGAUCGAAUUGUCGAUUAUAUCUCUACCUAAACAUAAGUUCACUCAGCCCGGGUUAGGACUUUUGAUAUUCUCACCCCACACGUUAAAUGAAAGUAAACAAGUAUUCACACAUGUAAGCGAUAAAACAAAGCGUAAAUAUAAACUAAGGAAAACUAGGCGCGACCCGCUAAAAAAAAAAGUCCCCAGUGAAGUCGCCAUUUCUGUUAUCAUGGUUUUUGGGUGCCAAGCCAUUAAUUGGACUUGAACCUUUUGACCGUUGAUAUCUCUCUUUUUUCUUGGGAAGGGUAAAAGGAGAAAAACCCUUAAAAAGUUCUAGAUUCGGGGGUCGUUUUCGCUACGGGAAGGUGUUAGGCACCCGGAGCGAUUAUGGUAUUCCAUAAGAACCGCUUUCCUAAGUUGAUUUCUACGCUUUAGUUUUAUUGCUAUUUUGUAAAAAAAAGGAGGUGUGAUUAGUUAAGAAUGGGGGUGAGAAGAAGUAGAAUUUUGAUUUUAUUUCGGCUUGGAGGAGUUUUGACUCAUUGCCUACGUACCCUUUUAAGGGAUCAAAACCGAUCGUAGUUCAUUCUCAAAAAUGGUUUUUUGUUUUUGUUGGUUGAUUUUAAGUUUGAAAAGAGAUUUUGAAGAAUAGAGAUGAGAGGCCUCAAGGGCAUAAGAUUUGGAAAGUGUGAGGUGGAAUUAGUCAUUUUGCAAAAAUAAAGUCCAAGGAGGAUUAAGGUUUAUUGAAAAUUUUACUUAAGAAAAAAAAUAAAAGGGAAAUAAGGAGUUUUGACUCCUAUUUUAUUUUCAAAAAGGUUUUCAAGUGAGAUUAUUUGCAUGUUUUGGAAAAAGGUUGAUUUUUUCUAAGUGUUUAAACCUAAGCGCUUAUCGAACCAUACAAUCCUAUGCAUACAUCUAAGGUGAGUGUGUGCGUGCCGGUGCGUCAUAGUGUCCAUAGUCCAUAUUACAACAUUGCCUAAAUACAUUCUAUGGCCUCUUUGCCAAGCUACAAACCAAUGGUAAAAUAUUACAUCACCGAAUGAAUUACAAUUUGUAAAAAAAAGAAAACUAAACUAACGGAGACAAUAGUGAAGAUAAUGAAGUGCUAUGAAGUGAUCAACAUGAAAGGAAAUGUUAGUAGAAAAUGGUAAAAAAAGAAUAUGGCAUAAAGCGAUAGAAGAAAGUAUGGCAUAAGACGGUAAAGUGACGAUGAAAAUAAGCCGGAAACAUGUGAUGAAUAAUGCGCAUGAUGCAAGAAUAAAACUCAACACAUCAAAAAAGUGACAUAUGCAUAGCAAACAGUAGCAAAAUUCACAUGGAAUAGUAUGCAAAUCAAACAUGACGAACACGAACAUUAUGUACAUGAAGUAACGGGUAGAAAUGCGAGAAAAAUGACUUAAAAUAGUAAAAGCCCUUGACAAAACAACACUAAAAUUUUUAUCAACUUUUCCAAGUAAAAUACCACUGAAAAUUAUCAAGAAAAAUAGUAAAAUGACAUAGUAAAUUUCUUGGAAUUUAUUGAUAAAAAUUAACAUGAACAGAGGGUGCAAACAGUAGGCAAGUAUGGUGCAAGUAGCAAAAAAAGCAAAAAACGUGAAAGAAAACUAAGCCCAAACCCAAAGCCCACACUCAAAACUCAGAUUGCACAGGAGCCACACGAUUGAUCUAGGAUUCUGAAACCCUAGAUCAAACGGCCAGGAACAAGGGGGACUGGACCGGAAAUAAACCGGUCCGGUUCACUGGCUAUACAAAGGGGGAAAUCCGGUUUUUUCCUCAUUCUCUUCCUCUCCUUCUCUCUCUUCUCUCAUCCUAGUGAGAGAAGCUCCCACUUCUCUCUUCCCUCUCUCGCCGGAAACCUCAAGGAGGAAGAUGAGUUUCACGUGUUUACCUGUGAUUUUUGACUGGAGAUUUUGAACAAGAUCUUCGGAAAACUUGAUUGUUGGUGCGGUUUGUUGAUUCUCUGGCUUGGAUCCGAAAAUAAAUCGGUUCUUCUUUCUUUCUCUUUGCUGGUCCGAAUCGGUUCUUUCCCUCUUCUUCUCAAACUUUCGGAUCCUUCGCGAUCGUGCUUGGAUUCGUUGCUAUUGGUGACGGAUCCGCACUAGAAUUGUGAAGGAUUCGGUUCGAUGAUGAUGAUUCUCCAAUGAAUCACUGAGAACUGUGAUCUGGAAAAUUUUCUAGGGUUUUUGUUCUUGGUGUUCUUCUAUGAUUUUUCUGUUUUGAUCUGUAACUGAAUGGAGAGAGAAAAGAAAUCUGUUUGUGAUGAAUUUCUGACUUUUUUUUUUUUGACUGUGCAUUGAAUGCGCCUUUUAUAGGCUGCCAUGUGUGCAUUGGGACCAAUAGGAAAUUGACACCUGGACCUGGAGAAGAAAUGGCACGGCUUGGAAAAAAAAAUGAAAUUUGGACCUUUCUGCAAAAAACAAAAAAUUUGAGGACUAAACCGCAAAAUUAAUAAAAUAAUAAAAAAACCUGAAAUGAAAUUAAACUGUUUGGACAAAAAUGCAAUUUUGGGACCUCAAUUGAGGGACCAAAAUGCAAUUAAAAAUAAAAUUGAGUAAAAAACGUAAUUUGACCAAACGUAAAGCGAAACAAAAAAAUAAAAUUGACAAAACGGACUAAAACGAACCAAUGGCCUAAAUGAGGUACUUCAAAGUAACCUCCCUAUGCCAAAAUUUUAUGUGAAAUGACCAAAAUGCCCCUAGGGCUAAAAACGACCUAAACAGAUUGAAAUUGACUUGACACUGACUCAGACGCAAGUUUGAAAUGAAUUUUAACAAGGUUUACUGAUGAAAUAUUUAAAAAUAAUCUGAAAAGACUCAGAGACAGUCACAAGGAUGAAAAUGGGUCCCACUGCAGGAAAUGACCAAAAUACCCUUCUGUAUGACUUUUUGCAAAUUUUGAAAUAAACUGUGGUAAAAGCAAUGUAAUGAUCCGGAGACACUUUUGAAUGACUUAUAAGACAAGUAAAGAUAUUUCAAAAGGUUUUAUGCAAGAAAAACAUAGCUAAAAUUGUGAUUGGAAAUACUGCGAGGCAGAGACAAUUUGAACUGUGCAGUUGAAAUUUGAUAAUUGAUAAAUUUUGAAAUGAAAUUGGGCCCAGUAUUUUUAGGUCCAAAAACAGGGUAUAACACCCCUUAUAGGUCAUAAAAAAACGAAAAAAUUCUGCAAAAAUAAAUAAAUAAAGUCGCUUUUUUUUAUGACCUAUUAGGGGUGUAUUCCAAAAAAAUAAUAUUUUACAGGGGGUAAAUAAAAAAAAAAAAUUUACAGGGGUAAAUCACCAUUAACCCUAAUUUUUUUAUGACUUUAUCAGAGAAUGUUAAAGUGUGCCCAAGACACAACAAAUAAAUUUGAAUAAGGGGUCACUUUGGUCUUUACUUUGCACGUUGUUGUCACGAUGGUCUGUAACAUAUUUGAAGACUAGUAUUUUGUAUUUUAUUUUGAGUUAGCGACUAUUUGACAAUGAAGUAUAAAGUUAUAGACCAAAAUGACCAUUUAUUCAAUAAAUUUUUAUAAAAAGUAUUGUAUAAUUAUUAUUUGAUCAAAAUAACAAUUUUGUAUUUUUAAAACAAAGUUUUUAUUUUUGAAUUCUUUAAUCAAUGCUCCGAGCAUUUGUUGCCUACCAAAUUGUUGGCAAUACUCAUCUCUUAUUCUUAAACAAAGCACUGUCGCCCUAAUUAUACCUAAUAUCUUCUUAAAUAUUAAAGUUAACAAGUAAGCCCUAAUUUUAACCUAAACCCUAUUGCAUAAUUUUACUGUUUUAACCCUAAUGUUCACACCUAAUCUCCUAUUUUCAUGAACAAUCUUCUUAUAUAUUAAAGUUAACAUGUAAGCCCUAAUUUUAACCUAAACCCUAUUGCAUAAUUUUACUGUUUUAACCCUAAUGUUCACACCUAAUCUCCUAUUAAAUAUUAAAGUUAACAUAUAAGCCCUAAUUUUAACCUAAACCCUAUUGCAUAAUUUUACUGUUUUAACCCUAAUGUUCACACCUAAUCUCCUAUUUUCAUGAACAAUCUUCUUAUAUAUUAAAGUUAACAUGUAAGCCCUAAUUUUAACCUAAACCCUAUUGCAUAAUUUUACUGUUUUAACCCUAAUGUUCACACCUAAUCUCCUAUUUUCAUGAACAAUCCUAAUGCUCUCUCCUAAUCUUCUUAUAUAUUAAAGUUAACAAGUAAGCCCUAAUUUUAACCUAAACCCUAUUGCAUAAUUUUACUGUUUUAACCCUAAUGUUCACACCUAAUCUCCUAUUUUCAUGAACAAUCUUCUUAAAUAUUAAAGUUAACAUGUAAGCCCUAAUUUUAACCUAAACCCUAUUGCAUAAUUUUACUGUUUUAACCCUAAUGUUCACACCUAAUCUCCUAUUUUCAUGAACAAUCUUCUUAUAUAUUAAAGUUAACAUGUAAGCCCUAAUUUUAACCUAAACCCUAUUGCAUAAUUUUACUGUUUUAACCCUAAUGUUCACACCUAAUCUCCUAUUUUCAUGAACAAUCCUAAUGCUCUCUCCUAAUCUUCUUAUAUAUUAAAGUUAACAAGUAACCCUAAUUUUAACCUAAACCCUAUUGCAUAAUUUUACUGUUUUAACCCUAAUGUUCACACCUAAUCUCCUAUUUUCAUGAACAAUCCUAUUGCUCGCACCUAAUCUUCUUAUAUAUUAAAGGUAACCCGUAAGCCCUAAUUUUAACCUAAAUCCUAUUGCAUAAUUUUACCGUUUUAACCCUAAUGCUCACACCUAAUCUUCUAUUUUCAUGAACAACGCUAAUGCCCACACCUAAUCUCCUAUUUUCAUGAACAAAGCAAAUCGGCAUCGCUUUAUUUCCCCUAUUUCUUCAAAACAAAUCGCCCUAUUUCUUCAACAAAACAAAUCGCCCUAUUGGAAUAAAAGGGUUUUGAAAGAUUAUAGCAACAUUUUUUUUGUUAAUAUUACACUUUUCAUCCAAAUUAAAACCGAACUCUCUUUGUUAAAUAUUUACCACAAAAUGCACCUGAAUUUUGCAAUCUAUAUAAACAGGUGGAAGAAACAUUUCAACAAACAGUUAAAGGGUAUCAUUUACGGUAAAUGCCAAAUAUUCGAUAAAAGGAAAAUUAUUUAAAUAAAACAUUUUACAUGUUGAGGUUAAGAAUGAACUAUUUUUAGGUACAUAAUAUAACAUUAACAUAUAAUUCUUACAAAAGAAUGAAGUAACAUUUUUUCAAAAAAAAAAAAGAAAAAUAAGAAGUAACAUACCAAUAAUAUAAUAUUGACAUAUAAUUUUAACAAAAGAAUGAAGUAACACAUCUUCUUAUAUAUUAAAGUUAACACUUAAGCAUAUUUUAACCCUAAUUUUAACCUAAACCUAUGGCAUAAAUUUACUAUUUUAACCCUGAUGCUAAAUUCAUUUGUUUAACCUUAUUGAAUUUUGCCCCUUCUCAAUUUCUCGAGACAUCUUCUUAUAUAUUAAAGUUAACACAGAAGCAUAUUUUAGCCCUAAUUUUAACCUAAACCUAUGGCAUAAAUUUACUAUUUUAACCCUGAUGCUAAAUUCCUUUGUUUAACCUUAUUGAAUUUUCCCCCUUCUCAAUUUUUCGAUACAUCUUCUUAUAUAUUAAAGUUAACACUUAAGCAUAUUUUAGCCCUAAUUUUAACCUAAACCUAUGGCAUAAAUUUACUAUUUUAACCCUGAUGCUAAAUUAUUUUGUUUAACCUUAUUGAAUUUUCCCCCUUCUCAAUUUCACGAUACAUCUUCUUAUAUAUUAAAGUUAACGUAGAAGCAUAUUUUAGCCCUAAUUUUAACCUAAAUCUAUUGCAUAAAUUUACUAUUUUAACCCUGAUGCUAAAUUCCUUUGUUUAACCUUAUUGAAUUUCCCCCUUCUCAAUUUCUCGAUACAUCUUCUUAUAUAUUAAAGUUAACACAGAAGCAUAUUUUAGCCCUAAUUUUAACCUAAACCUAUUGCAUAAAUUUACUAUUUUAACCCUGAUGCUAAAUUCCUUUGUUUAACCUUAUUGAAUUUUCCCCCUUCUCAAUUUCUCGAUACAUCUUUUUAUAUAUUAAAGUUAACUAAACAUAUUUUGAAUCAAUUAUAGAAAUUUCUUUCAACCUAAUUUUUGUCUUUUGGCAAAAUCUCUUCUGUUAUUAAAUUAUAGAUUGCUGCUCAAUGUCACUAAAAAUAUUUUGAAUCAAUUAUACAAUUUCCUUCUAUAGUUGUAUUUAAAAUUAUUAAAGUUAACUAAACAUAUUUUGAAUCAAUUAUAGAAAUUUCUUUCAACCUAAUUUUUGUCUUUUGGCAAAAUCUCUUCUGUUAUUAAAUUAUAGAUUGCUGCUCAAUGUCACUAAAAAUAUUUUGAAUCAAUUAUACAAUUUCCUUCUAUAGUUGUAUUUAAAAUUAUGACAUUAAAAUUAUAAGUUGGGACUGUAUUAUAAAAUGUUGCUUUUGUCUACUACACUUACAAUGUAUAUGACCCGUGCGGCAGCACGGGUGGACGAUCUAGUUUUAACCUAAAAUUGUAGCCAUUUUUUCCUCCUUCAAAACCUAACCAUAUUUCUUAACUCCCCUCCUCCAAACCCUAACUAUGAUCUCCUAAUUUCCCUCCUCCUAAAACCUAUCUAAUUGAUUUCCAUAUUUUAUGUAGCCAUAUUUUUUUCCUCACUUCCUCAACUGAUUUACCCUAAUAUAUUAUUAUUCUCAUUAAUCUCAUAAUAAAUUGUACUUAUUUUCUGGUUUAACCCUUUAUGAGCUUCCUACUCUUUCUCCUUGAUCUUAAACAACUUAUGCGUUUAACACUUAUCAAAACCGAAAUAUCAUAAUCCUACACCUUAAUUUAAUCAUUUCUCCUAAAUCGAAAUCUCUUUUCAAAACAAAUACCUUUCUCUUAAACCGAAAUUUCUUAUUCAACAUGGCUUCCAGAAACAUUGAGACUUUGCUGUCAUACCACUGCCUCACUGGUAAUCAUUCCUUUUGCACCUAUUCCACACUGGUUUAAACUAUAAAUCAUGCUUUCGAAUUAACAGUCAUUAGAACUUCUGGUUUAUACUAUUAGUUAUUUGUCACUUUUAAUGAAACUGUGUGUAUGUAUUUAUAGUCAUUUUUGGAUAUAUUCAUCGAUAAUAUAAUUGUGCACUCCUUAUAAUUUGCCUUGGUGCUAUUCCUUUGGUUAAAGUAUUUUGUCAUAUAGAAUCUAGAAACACUAGAGGCAUCUUUGAACAAAAUCAACCAAAACACAUUUUUUCUUGUUGUAUUAAUAUAUAUUCAUCUGAAAGAAUUUCCAGAAAUGUAUUUUAUGUUUUCUAACGUGACUAAUAUGCUCUUAUAUUAAUAUAUAUGUACACUUUAAUUUACAAAGCAUCAUCAAGUCUUUCGUAGUAGCCCUCAUGGUAAAAUUCACAUACUUGAAUUACAGAAAUAUUUCUUUGUCAAUUUCAAAUUUCGUUUGUCACAGUCAUGAUUAUACUAUAUAAAAAAACCAUAGUGUUAUCCUAAUAAAAUGUUAUAGUAAAGCGAUUCGUGACUUUUACAGAAUCGGUCUUGGUGCCUAGAUUACCUUGGUUUUUGUGGGUGACAGACAGUUUGAUAUACGGUUGACUGAUAGGUUUCACAAGAGUAUCCCAUACCCGGCUUUUGAUCCCUCUAUGCAUUUCCUUCUUGACAAGAUGAAUUUGCAAGCAACUUUCGAAGACUAUCUCCCCCCAAUAACAUCUCUUCUCGCUUAUCGUCACAAUAUCAGUGACAUGGUUCUUGAUUUCGAAAAAAAUUAACUGAGUAUGAUGUUACUAAAGGUUGCGUGGUAUGAUACACUUUUCGUGUCCACCUUAACUUUUUUUGUUCCUUUUCCGUUUAGUUGAUAUAAGUUACAUGGAUUUCUAAUUUUGCAGAUUCUACUUUACACCGGCAAUGUUCCACAGAUGCUUGAUACACUCUUAACAACUGUGAAUAUUAUUGACGAUUGCGGUAACAUAUGGGUGUGUGAGCUAAGUUUUGCAACUAUUCCUUGUGAACACUUCAAGAUAGGAGGGCGUUGGAAAAGGUUUGUGGAAGCUCGCAAGCUCCGUGAAGGUGUGAAAAUCAGAGGGGGUGCUCUGAUGGUUGGGUCACAUGAUACCAUUUACCUUGAUGUUAUUUACAAUUAGUCCAUGUUUAGAUAAAUUGUGCAAGACCUUUCCAGUUUGAAUUUUAAGUUUUAGUUUUUUAGAGUUUUGGAAGCAUCUAAUUUUUUUGUCUUUGAAUUUAGCAAAUGUCCCUUGAAUUUCAUAAAUAAUUUAGUCUUACUUGCUUUUCUUUUUGAUUUAUAUAUUUGUGUUUGUGUUGCUUAAACAAUUUAGUAACGUGAAUUUUGUUAACAAGGGAAACUUAUAUGUGUAUGUAUGUUUUUGUGUUGUUGAAUCAAUUUAGUAGCAUGGUUAUGUUACUGAAGCAUUUUAGUAACAUGGCUUUUAGUAACAUUAUUAGUAACAAUUACUACCUUUUGGUGACACUCUUAGUAACAUUAUUAAUAACAAUUACUACCUUUUGGUGACAAUUAUUUCCUAUUAGUAACAUUCCUGAAAGAGCAUAUUUUGAAAUAAUUAAUUUUCUUAUUUGGAAUAUGUUAAACUCAAAAUGGGAAUUUUUAGUCAACAUUAGAAUCCUUUAAAAAAUGUAUUGCAAACCUUUUUCACAUGGAGAGUUGUACGUCGCAAUAUCAUGGGUUACUUUGAGGGGUGGUUUAAAGAUAUUGAUUAAUGACGAGGACGCGAUGAUACCGAUGUUGGACAAAUGUGGUCUACAGAUAAGUUUUCCGUAAUGUGUAGGACUUUUUUGUAUACUAUUCAUUUUCUUACUUAUUGAAACUAUUUGCAUGUCAACGAACUUCAGUUUCCCUUUUAAAAUUAUAUGUUAUGUUAAAGUAAUAGGAACUACGUACUAGAAUUAUGGAACAAUAACAAAGCCUAUGAUAAUUGGCGUUAUGCUUUGAUUUACGACAAUUUUUACAUUCAAGCGAACUAUAUUAUUUUAUUUUUACGGUGAAUAUUAACUUCUUAAAAUGACCUGUGCGUUAGCACGGGUCAAUGGUCUAGUAUUUAUUCAGUUGUGCACUGUGUCUCUGAGACAGGCUAAUUUGACCACCAAGUUUUUUUUAAUCAGAAACAUAUUUUCAAAAAAUGUAAUCAUAUAUUCACACUGUAAUAAAAAUAUAUUCACAGUUGGACAAAAAAAUAAAAUAAGUAUAUUUAUUAUAUUCACACCUAUAGUAUACCCACGUGGUUAUCUUUUUCUAUAAACUCAAACCUAUAUAUAUCUCAUAUAUACAGAUCCGUGAAUAAUUUGCAAACCUUCCACUAAUAUUUAUUAUAAAUCUGCUACAUCAAUAAUGGUACUACCCACGUUCAUCAUCAUGAUUCUGUGUGUCCUUCCAACACUUUCUGUGGCUGAAGACAGUGAAGCAAAAUUAGCACUCUUAAAAUGGAAAGCUAGCUUUGACAACCAAAGUCAAAGUAUCUUGUCAACUUGGAAAAAUACCACAAAUCCAUGCAGCAAAUGGAGAGGAAUUGAGUGUGACAAAUCCAAUCUCAUUUCUACCAUAGAUCUUGCAAAUUUAGGACUAAAAGGUACACUUCACUCUCUCACCUUCUCUUCAUUCCCCAACCUCAUAACCCUAAAUAUCUAUAACAACCACUUUUAUGGAACCAUUCCUCCACAAAUAGGUAACUUGUCAAGAAUAAAUACAUUGAAUUUUUCAAAAAAUCCUAUUAUUGGUUCCAUCCCUCAAGAAAUGUACACAUUGAGGAGUUUAAAAGGCCUUGAUUUUUUCUUUUGUACACUAAGUGGAGAAAUUGAUAAAUCCAUAGGAAAUUUAACCAACCUAUCAUAUCUAGAUUUAGGAGGUAACAAUUUUUCUGGUGGUCCCAUUCCUCCUGAGAUUGGAAAAUUGAAGAAAUUAAGGUAUCUAGCAAUUACACAAGGUAGCCUAGUUGGUUCCAUUCCACAAGAAAUUGGUUUGUUGACAAACCUUACUUAUAUUGAUUUGUCAAACAACUUUCUAUCUGGUGUUAUCCCUGAAACCAUAGGGAACAUGAGCAAAUUAAAUCAACUCAUGUUUGCUAAUAACACCAAGUUGUAUGGACCAAUUCCUCACUCCUUGUGGAACAUGUCUAGCUUGACCUUGAUCUACCUUUAUAACAUGAGUCUUUCUGGUUCAAUCCCUGAUUCAGUACAAAACUUGAUUAAUUUGGAUGUACUUGCACUUUAUAUGAAUAACCUUUCUGGAUUCAUUCCUUCCACAAUUGGAAACUUGAAAAACCUCACUUUAUUGCUUUUGCGAAAUAAUCGACUUUCUGGAUCAAUUCCUGCCUCUAUAGGAAAUUUGAUCAAUUUGAAAUACUUUAGUGUCCAAGUAAACAAUCUCACAGGAACUAUUCCAGCUACAAUCGGAAAUUUGAAGCAGCUCAUUGUCUUUGAAGUAGCUUCCAACAAACUUUAUGGUAGAAUUCCAAAUGGACUUUAUAACAUUACCAAUUGGUAUUCCUUUGUUGUGUCCGAAAAUGAUUUUGUUGGCCAUUUGCCGUCUCAAAUGUGCACCGGGGGCUCAUUAAAAUACUUAAGUGCAUUUCAUAAUCGUUUCACUGGUCCAGUACCAACAAGUUUAAAAAGCUGCUCUAGCAUUGAAAGAAUCAGAAUUGAGGGUAAUCAAAUCGAAGGAGAUAUAGCAGAAGAUUUUGGUGUGUAUCCGAAUUUGCGAUACGUUGACCUGAGUGAUAAUAAAUUUCAUGGCCACAUUUCACCAAACUGGGGGAAGUCUCUUGAUCUUGAAACCUUCAUGAUAUCUAACACUAAUAUUUCUGGUGGUAUACCAUUAGAUUUUAUUGGUUUAACCAAGCUAGGUAGGCUUCAUCUUUCUUCAAAUCAAUUGACAGGGAAACUUCCAAAGGAAAUACUAGGAGGCAUGAAAUCAUUAUUAUAUCUCAAGAUUAGUAACAAUCAUUUUACAGAUAGCAUCCCAACAGAAAUUGGAUUGCUGCAAAGGCUUGAAGAGUUGGAUCUUGGAGGAAAUGAGUUAAGUGGCACGAUACCAAAUGAAGUUGCAGAGCUACCGAAGUUACGAAUGUUGAAUUUGAGCAGAAACAGAAUUGAAGGAAGAAUUCCAUCUACGUUUGAUUCAGCUCUUGCUUCAAUUGAUCUUAGUGGCAAUCGUUUGAAUGGAAACAUACCAACAAGUCUCGGAUUCUUGGUGCAGUUGUCAAUGUUGAAUCUCUCACAUAAUAUGCUUUCAGGAACCAUUCCUUCAACUUUUAGUAUGAGUUUGGAUUUUGUUAACAUAUCAGACAACCAGUUAGAUGGUCCACUUCCAGAAAAUCCAGCUUUUCUUCGUGCUCCGUUUGAAUCAUUCAAAAAUAACAAAGGCUUAUGUGGAAAUAUCACAGGUUUGGUUCCGUGUGCAACAAGCCAGAUCCAUAGUAGAAAGAGCAAAAAUAUCCUUCAAUCGGUAUUUAUUGCUUUAGGAGCUCUAAUAUUAGUGUUGAGUGGAGUUGGAAUUUCGAUGUAUGUUUUUUUUCGGAGAAAAAAACCAAAUGAAGAAAUCCAAACUGAAGAAGAAGUACAAAAGGGAGUACUAUUUUCGAUUUGGAGCCAUGAUGGGAAAAUGAUGUUUGAAAAUAUCAUUGAAGCUACUGAGAAUUUUGAUGACAAAUAUCUCAUUGGAGUUGGAAGUCAAGGAAAUGUUUACAAGGCAGAGUUGCCUACAGGAUUGGUUGUUGCUGUGAAGAAGCUUCAUUUAGUAAGAGAUGAAGAAAUGUCAUUUUUCAGUUCGAAGUCUUUUACGAGUGAGAUUGAAACCUUGACAGGAAUCAAACACAGGAAUAUCAUAAAGCUUCAUGGAUUUUGCUCACAUUCUAAGUUCUCAUUUUUAGUUUACAAGUUCAUGGAAGGUGGAAGCUUAGAUCAAAUACUAAACAAUGAAAAACAAGCCAUUGCAUUUGAUUGGGAAAAGAGGGUGAAUGUUGUUAAAGGUGUCGCCAAUGCUUUGUCCUACUUGCAUCAUGAUUGCUCACCUCCUAUUAUUCAUCGUGAUAUAUCGAGCAAGAAUAUUCUUCUCAAUCUUGACUAUGAAGCUCAUGUCUCCGACUUUGGGACAGCUAAGUUUCUUAAGCCUGACUUACAUAGUUGGACACAAUUUGCAGGCACUUUUGGGUAUGCAGCUCCAGGUUAGAACCAUUUCUCCUCAUUUUUAAUUUACACAAGUUUCGUUAUAUACACUAGUAGCAGUGGAAUCUGUGUAAAAGAAUAUGCGCUAAAAUACAUUUCCAACUGAAAAGAAUCAUUUUUUUAAUUAAAUAGAUAAGUUAUGUGGAUGUACCAGAGUCCAUUUAAAGAAUACAUGGCUUCAUAUUGUUUUGUGCAAAAUAUAACUUAAAAAUUAAUUUAUUUGUUUGUUUGCAGAGUUGUCCCAAACAAUGGAAGUGAAUGAGAAAUGUGAUGUAUACAGCUUCGGAGUGCUUGCUUUGGAAAUCAUAAUAGGAAAACAUCCAGGAGAUCUCAUUUCAUUAUUUUUGUCACCAUCUACAAGACCAACGGCUAAUGAUAUGUUAUUGACAGAGGUUUUAGAUCAAAGACCUCAAAAAGUUAUAAAACCAAUUGAUGAGGAGGUUAUCUUGAUUGCAAAGUUGGCAUUUUCUUGCUUAAAUCAAGUUCCACGUUCUCGUCCAACUAUGGAUCAAGUAUGUAAGAUGCUUGGAGCAGGAAAAUCACCUUUGGAAAAUCAAUUUCACACGAUCAAACUAGGGCAACUUCAUUAAGUCGUUGAAAUACUCUAUUGUAUAUAUAUAUAAUAAUAACCUAGUCUUUUUCUUGUUUCUUCUCUUGUAAGAUGCUUGGAACAGGAAAACCACCUUUGGUGGGAAAGCAACUUCACAUGAAAUAAUCUAUUGAACUAACUCAACGAAAUAAUCUACUGUACUAUAUAAUAAUAACAUCUUUUGUAUUUUUCUUGCACAACAUUCUCAAGCAAUUUCUUCUUUUCAUUGCACCAAUUAAUACUUCAAAAUAAGCAUGAAAAACAGAUUCAUGAGUAAAUAGUCAUUUUGGUCAUUGAAUGUGUAAGAUGUUGUUACUUGAUACUAUAAUCUCUGAAUGUAUCAAAAUUACAAACACAUUCUCAAUGUCUCUUUUGUCAGUAAUUUUAUAGACUAAAUGGACCAUAAAAAAUACUAAUAUUUCAGAAAUUUGUGUGCAUUUUUUGAAACAAUAAAAAAUACUAAAAAGAUUGCUUUUAUUAUUUAGAGAAAUGCAACACCUCUAACUAAUAUAUCAAUGUUCUUUUCAUUACAAUGGUUCGAGUCUCACAUUUUCCUAUUAACAAGUUUUAUUCAUCACAAUGAGUCACGCCUCAUUUCAAUUUGGGACUGAUCAUGUCUUGCUUUAUAUGUUUUGCGUUUAGGAGUCCUUGCAUUUUCCGUGAUCUGCAAUUUCCUUUCUUGUCUUGAUCUCUGGUGUGCAAUUACUGAUCAUGAAUUCUAGGUCACAAUGUCUGGUUUCCGUGCAGGUUGUUUGUGUUCUCAUCGUUGUUUGUGUGGGGUUCAUCCAGUUUUGUGUGUUCACACUAUUGUUCGCGUGGGUUACAUUAUCACUAUUGUUCAUGUGGUCCUUUCUUAUUCUUGGUUGAACUCUCAUGGCCUCAAAAAGGAAAGAUGCGAUUUAUGUGUCUGUUUCACCAGAAAAUAUUACCCGACUAGAGAAUUCAGUUCAAGAUGUAUGUCAACUGGAAAGGAUUAUGGAAUCUGUUGUGAAUUCGAACACAAAACUCACACCAAUAAAACUAUGAUGUGUGGAGUAAAGGAAAGUAGUAAUCAAUAUCAAAGUAAACACAAGCAACAACAAUAACAACACCAAGAUCUAAUCUAGGAAUCAAAGUGAAAAGCUCAAAACCACAAGCAAAAAGAUAAGGAGAGAAGAGAAACAAACAGACCAAGAAAUGUUUACCCAGUUCGGUCCAACUUGAUCUACUCUUGGGGAGAGAUUUAUCUCUCCAAUCCACCAUCAAUGAGUUCUUACAAAAAGAUACAAAUGGGUUACAAGAAAUUAGCUUCAACAAGCUCACAAAGAAAAAAUCUAAUUUCUACCCAUUUUCCCAAUCUCACAAAUGAACAAGACACUCAAUGAUUUUCACUCACCCAAGGUGUUUACAAUGUUUCUCACCCCAAGAUAACUAUAAUCAAAGACCCUCAACCCUAAAGUUACCUCCUUUGAUUUCUCAAGUUUUCCUCUCUUGAAGCUCUUCCUUAAAAAAGAAGAAUGAAACCUUACAUAGUGUUCAGGAUUUCGCACCAUCGUACUACGAUGGAGCAAAUAAUAGUAUAAUACUAUGCCUUAUCCAACAAAAUCGUACUACGAUUUCUCCCAUCGUACUGCGAUUUUUCCAGUGCCUACACAAACCUGAACUAUUCAAAAUCGUACUACGAUGCCUGCAAUCGUACUACGAUUUUUCCAGAACUUCAACAUCCAAAUUUUGAGUCAAUUUUCAAGAGAAUCAUAUGAUGGGCUUUAAUUUCUAAAGCGUUGGAAGGGAAAGCUACCUUAGAGUUAGAUGUGUGGGAAGUCACAGAUGCUAAAAUUACAUCUUGAAUUCUUAGUACUAUUGAUCUCCAUGUGAUCAAUAAUUUGUGUUCUUUUACAACUGCUAAAAAAUGUGAAACAACUGACGCUGCAGGUAUCCCCAUAUGUUGUAUUGCAGUUUCUCUUAUCGAGUGAAUUUACACAUUUCUCUCCAUUCAUCACUUAAACAAGAUAUUAAAUCGAACCCAUCAAAAUGCGGUACAAAGUUUAUGGUUGUGCACAAUAUAGGUCGCAUUGCUCCCAUAUAUCAAUUAUUACGACACAUAUAUAUACUCUUAAUUAUUACAAAACUAUUACACUGUCAUACCCAAACAACAACAACAAAAUCGAUGAAAUAACAAAAGCAGACUAGUAUAAUCCAAUAAUAACACAUUAAAUCCUUUCAUUUGCGCCGAACAGUAACAGGACUCCUUACAAUGUGUUUUCCAUUUGUCCAUCGCAGUUCCCCAAAUUGGUAUUUCCUCCUUGGAGUCACACUUGUUGCUUGCACAAUAACUUGAAAUGUCUUCUUUUCACCUAUUUUCUUGAAAUUCAAGGAACUAGGUACAACAGCAAUUUUAUAUCCAGCCAAUUGAACUUUAGCAAAAUAUGUACUUGGUGGCCCAACAUUAGUAACUGUGCGAGUGACAGUAACGGAAUUUAAUCCAAGAUUUGGUAAUGUGAUUGAAGGAUAAUUCAAGUCAUCUAUGCUACUAGUUCCUGAACAAGUAAAUGUCAUGUUGAAAUUAAGUGCUGAAAUGAGUUGUUGGUUGUAUCCAGAAGCACAUAAGAAGUUUAAGUAAUCUUUAAUCCCUAGAUCAUAAACAAGUCCUGGAUCCAUGGCACUGUUGGGUCGAAUAUGUCCUGAACCAUAAGCAAAUGGAUUUGCCAGUGUUUUAUCAAAUGCAUCGCUUAUAGGCUUGUUGGUGUUAUCUCUCGUGGUUGCUGCAAGCCAGCAUAUUUUGACUAGUAAGUAAUAAGUAAUCAUUUUAUAAAUUAAACUUAUUUAUAUAUGAGUGACAACGUGUCAAAAAUAAUAUAAAAAUAAUGCUACGCAUAGUGCUUUUUCCAGCCAGUGCUCCUUUUAUAGAGUAUGUGUGUGUGUGUGUUUGGUGCCACUUGAGAGAGAAAAUACCAGUGGUCAUUAUAGCCGAUUUAAUAGCUGCUGGACUCCAAUUAGGAUGAAGUGUUUUGAUUAAUCCAGCAGUGCCGGCAACAUGUGGACAAGACAUAGAAGUUCCUUGCAUUACAUUGAAUGGAAAACCUCGACGAGUGUCUGUUAUUAAAUUAGAUGCACUUGCAAACAAUGAAUAGGCAGCGAGUAUGUUCACACCUGGCGCAGUUACAUCAGGCUGAAACGAAAAAAUAAAAACAAUUCCAAUCAACACAAAUUACUAAGCAGUGUCAUUUAGCUAGUAGAUAAGAAAUCCAAGUGUAUGAUAAACACCUUGAGUAUUGAUGGUUGAACUUUAUUUGGUCCUCUAGAAGAGUAGGAAGCCAUAACUGGAGCUGGCUUUCUUCUAUUCAAAGUUUUUGCUGGUGACAUUCUUAGUUUAGUGCCUGACUUUAUAUCCCUGUAAAAUAAAAAUAGAUAUGAUUGUAUAAAAAUGGUGCUUUUCAUUUGUAACAUGUAUUUUAAUUAAUAAUGUCACAAUUUUUAAAAGCUUGUUACAAGAAAGGUAUGUAUAAUGAAUUAUUACGAGGGAAUUAUGUCCAAACUACGUCCUGUUGUUCUUGAAUGAUUUCCAGGAUAGCUGAUAGUAGACAAAACAUGAGGCUCUGAAAGAAGUGUUUUUCCAUUAAUUUCAGGUUGAUUUCUCAAAAUAACCCCCUUUGCACCUGCAGAUAAAGCUUCCUGACCCUCAGCAACUGAUUUUAUUUUCCCUUCUCGAUCGCAUGCCACUAUUUUACCAUUCACUUUUGAAGGAUCAAGUGUUCUUGGUCUACAAAAUCGACUGCAACAAUAUGUAUGUAAAAAUAUAUGUUAGAAACAGUCAUUAAGCAAAUGUUUUAUUGGAUUUUUAAGUCAUGUAAUUUUACAAUGUACUUUAAAGGAUGACCGUGUUGCUUUAAAAUGAAUUGAAAAGCAAAAUCGUUAACUUUAAAAAAUAGUUGACCAAAAUUACAAUAGACAAUGUUUUUAUCAGUACUGAAAUAAUGCUUUUGGAGUUUACACUUACGCAUCUCGAUUUGUUGCAUUGGCCAAUUUAGCAUCAGUAGAAGUCACUAUAGUAAAGUCCUGGUUAGGUGGCAAGUUUACAAAAAGACUGGCUCCCUUUUUAAUAUUAAAAAAUAAAAAAGAACACAAUUAAUUCCAAUCCUAUGAUAAUAACAACAAGAAUAAUUUGUCACAGAAAAAAACAAUAUUACGGAGAAAAUUAUCAGAAUAUUAAUUAAGGAUAAUACCGUGAGUGUUUUGUUACCAAUGGUCAUGACACUGCUGAAGUCUCUGUCUAAUGUACUAGCAGCAACAGUGAACACCCAUGGAGCAACAUUAACAACACUUCCAGGGGUAGGUCCUUCAUUUCCCGCAGAUGCAACUAAUAAUAUAUUUCUAGCAAGUGCAUGAAAUGCACCUAUUGAAAUCUCGUCAGUAAAAAUUUCUUCAGAAUUUGUACUAGAUGGGCCUCCAGCAGAAACAGAUAUUAUGUCAACACCAUCAUCAAUUGCUUGAUCAAUAGCAGAUAAUACAUCAGCACCAAAGCAACUAGUGGCAUCUGUUAGAGACCAGCACACUUUGUAG